CCAGAUUGAGGUGUCUCAAAUGUAUCAAUUUCCCUACCUCGUUUGGUAUUUCUUUGAUUGAAGACCCUGACAAAUUCAAUGACCUGAUGCAUGUCAACUGCUUGAACAAAUCAGGCAGUGCAGCUCCAAGCGAAGGGUCUCUAGUGUCGAACAAUAGGCUGCGAAGACCUUUUGCUUUGUGAAUGGACACGGGAAAAGAGGUCUCCUCUGACAGCAUCAUGCUUAAAUGACGAACCCUUUCAAUUGAAGUCUCCACUGUUGCUUCUCCAAGUGUAUUGACAUCCACUGUUAGACAUUCAUUUUUUGUCAUAUAUUGGGCAAAAUCAUGCACUAUAUCAUGCAUCUUGAAUCUAAUAUGUUCUCGAUCAUACGUCUUAAAAUCUUGGAAGAAAGAGCGCGCUGCCAAGACUUGAAAGUAAUCCUCCCCAACAAGCUCCAUGUCUCUACUUGUAGUCUCCUUAAGGUAACCUUGAGCCAUCCACAUCUUCACCAAUUCAUCUUUUCAUCGUAGUCUUUUGGAAACAUGGCACAAUACAAGAAACAUCGUCUUACCACAGAAGGUAAAUCGUAGUAACUCAAAAGCAAAGGUAAAAUAGUCCCUCUUUCAACAUGUUCUAGCUCCCACAUUCGCUAGAUAAAACACGUUCCCACUCUUCUCUUGUUCUUUUAGACUGCAUUAGACCUCCUAAUACCUUGGCAGCUAGAGGCAAGCCCUUGCACUUGCUUGCAAUUUUAUCGCCGAUAUCUGUCAAUCUUUCGCGCUCAUCUUGCUUCUUUCCUGGAAUGCCACUGAUUGAAUAUUGACCUGCAUACCUCAUCAGACAAUUUCUCAAUGUUGAUCCGGUGGUCAGUUCCCAUCAUCGUUGCCACAGAAUGUUUACGAGUGGUCACUAGAAUUCUGCUUCCUCGUGCACAGCCUGUGAGAGAUGGUUUCAGUUGUUCCCAUUGUCCAUGAUUUUCUGUCCAGACAUCAUCAAGGACAAGAAGGAACCUCUUUCCCUUAAUGGAUUCAGAAACCCUUGCAAAAGGGAUUGCAAUUCAACCAAAUCGGCCCUCCCUUCAAGCUGCUCAAGGAUAGCUUUGGCUAUUCUAACCUCAUCAAAUGGUUCUGAAACACACACCCAUAUCUUUUUCUCAAAAUGAGCCGUAACCUCAGCAUCAUUAAAAGCUAGUUGGGCGAGAGUUGUUUUUCCAAUUCCGCCCAGCCCUACUAGAGAGAUGACAUCCACGUCCCGUGCUUCCUGACUACUUUCGCCAGCAACUUGCUUACAGCUUCCUUUUCACAUCUCGACCAUCACGCUUGAUUCAUCAACAAAGGAGGUACUUGUUAUUCGUUGGAGUUCAUCAGUGGCUUGUACAGAUCAAAGCCAUACAUAGCUCUCUCUUUGGCAAUCUCCACUUUUUCACAUACUUCUUUGAUCUUGAGGGCAAUGUCUCGACGUCGAACCACUUGAUUGAAACAAAAGCAAGGAGAUCUCAGGAAGGAACACCGUAUCUUCUGUCGGCUGUGAGUAUUUUCUUCAGAAUCCCCCAUUUUCCAUGUAAGAAUUGCAGAGCUCCAUUCAUCUAGCACGUCAUCCAUAUCAUAGCAUACAUCUUUGAGCUUGUCUACCCAAUCCCUUACAGCCUUAUCCUUCACUUGUUUUCUAUCUGCAUUUUCUCUAAAAUAAAAUGACUCGUAAAUAAUGUAAUGCUAAUGCCACUAUUAUUGUACUUAAAUUUACUAGAUGAGUGAAUUAAAAUAUAUUUUAUUUGAAUAUAGGAUUUCUUUAGAUAAAAGAAUUCAUAGAUAUUAUAAUAAUCAUAUAAUUAUGUAGCGCAAUACAUUGCAAUUUCACAAUAUUAUUAUGUGACUUUUAAUAGUUAUGCAUAGUCUAUUUUUAAAAAAAAUCUGUGAGGUUGAUCAAAAUAAAAAAGAAAUAUUAGAAUUUCUAUAAUCAUGUUUGUGAUCGAAUAUUUGACUAUAUUUAUUUUAAUCAUUUUAUCAUAAUAAUUUUAUUACAAAUAUAGUUAUUUAUGCAUUCAAAUAUGAUAAGGAAUUGUGAAAAAGGGAAUUUACUACUAUUUUACUAUAUUGAUUUGUUCUAACCAGCCAUCACAAUAACCAUAUUUUGUAUAGCACAAAAGAUAUAAAGAAAAAGAAAGAUAAUCGUAAGAACCCGCUAUCUAGUAAAAUAAUAUAUAUAUAUAUAUAUAUAUAUAUAUAUAUAUAUAAAUCAAGGUACUGAAUUAACUAAUUUUAACAGAUAUUCUAUAAGAUAAUGAAAUCAAUGUAUAAUGAACUAUAAAUGUAGAAAAGUAAUUAAGUACCUGUUGAUUAUAAAAGAAAGAAAGGAAACAAAAAAGAGUACCUGUAGAGUAACGAUCGUGGUUAACUGGUCCAAAAUCGGGGAUACAAGUGCGUCAGCCAUUGUUGUUCUUACUACUGAAUGUGUCAAGAAAAAGGAGAGAAAGUAAUGGGGCGUUGUUGACUGAUGAAAUGAGAAGUUGAUGAAGAUAGGAAGGAUAGUGAUCGACUGUGGAGUGCCAGAGAAAAUUAAUUUGAGGUUAUUUUCAAUGAAGUUUAGGCAAUAUAUACUGCAAAUUAAGAUAAUUUGCUUAAGACUGAUGCAAGGUUGAUGCAAGCAAAGAAUGAUUCUGAACUUCAGCAUAAAGCAGCUAAUUUCCUACAAGGUUGAUGCAAGCAAAGAAUGUCACUGAAACAACGAGAAAAUAUGCGUAAGAAGGAAAAGGAAAAGGCAAAGGUAAGUCUAGAACUAGCCAUUGCUUCACUUUGGGUUCAAGUAUAAUGCAUCAGUCAUCAGUCAUUUUCCUAUUUGUAUGUUUAUAUGGAAAUGACCUGUCGUUUUGAGUUCCAAAAGUGAAAGGCCCAUUUUUUUGCCUUAAUUUUAAAACAAAUAAAUAAUCAUUAACAUACCUAAAAAUAAAAUUUAAAAAUUAAAAGAUAAAUAUAGAUCAAGAUAUUUAAUUUUACAAGAUGAGACAUUUAUCUAUUUGCUAAAUUUUUUUAUUAAUUUUUUUUAAUUUAAUCAAACAAUAAUAAAAAUAAACAAAUAUAUUAAAUUGAUUGAAUAAAAUAAAAAGAAAACAGGAAUAAUAUGCAAGGCUACACAUAUUAGAAAUAUCAUCUAAAAAAAUUGAUUGAAUAAAAUAAAAAGAAAACAGGAAUAAUAUGUAAGGCUACACAUAUUAGAAAUAUCAUCUAAAAAUAAAUAUUUUUUAUUUUUAAAAAUACAGUUCAUCUAUACAAAAGACAAAAAAAAUUAUAAAUAAAUCAGAAAAAUCUCUUUAAAAAUUAAACAUAUAACAAAAAAAUCAAUAUUAUUUAAAAGAUACUGUCUGAACAAAAUUCUACUGUGGAGCGCAAGAGAAAAUUAAUUUGAGGUUGUUCUCAAUGAAGUUUAGGCAUUGAGAACAAAGAUCAAAUUGGAUGUUUUGCACUUUGGAGUUUGGAUAAUGAUAUUGUAAUGUUUUGAAUUAAUGAGAUAGGAAAAGCCUAGAAACCCCUUGAAGGCUUAGAUGUAGGAAUAAAUUAAAUGAGGGGUAUAGUAGUAAUUGGAUAAAUAGUUGAUAAAUAUAAAUAGGAAGUAAAAAAAUAAAAUAAAUAUAGAAAUCUGAUUUUGAGAGGAAGAGAAUCGGCAGAAGUGAGAAAGGAAAGAAGAAGAAGAGAAAAGAGGGGAAAAUAAGGGGAAAAAGGAAGAGAAUUGGAGGAAAUAAGUGAAAAAGGUAAGAUUUAGGUUGUUUAAUGUGUAUAAUAUGUUAAUUAAGUUUUAAUUUCAGUUUUAUGAAUGUUAGGGUUUUGAGAAUUUGUGUUCGAUUUAAAUGAUGAAUUAAAUUGAAGGUUAGGGGUGAUUGUUGUUGUUUAAUUGAUGAUUUAGUUGAUUAUGGAAGAUUAUGAUGAUUUGAGUUAUAGAAUUGUGUAAAUGGUGAAAAUUGAGUUAGAAAUCAGGGAGAACAGUGGGGUUUCUGUUAAAAUCUGGACUGGAGGUUGAAGAUGACGAAAAAUUCAAUUUGGUCCCUCAAUUCAGAAAAUUACAGUUAGUCCCCGAACUUUGGAAAAUUACAAAUUGGUCCCUGGAGCAUAUUCCGAGAUUCUGAACAGAAUAACAUAUGAAUUAUGGACAUAAUUACUGUAUAGAUAAGAGAAUUUAACACUUUCAAUUUAGUCCUCCAAUUUGACAAAAAGUACAAUUUGACCCUAAAAAUUUAGUAAAAUUCCAGAAUGAUCCCUGAAGCAUAAUGAUACAUCCUGGACAGAAUUGAGGAUUAAUUAAGGUCAGAAUUUCAGUAUAUUCAUGGAUUUAUGACAAAUUUCAGUUUGGUCCUCCAAUUAGACAAAAGUUACAAUUUGGCCCUAAAAAUAUGAUAAGUUCCAGAUUAGUCCCUAGCUGUAAUAUUAGCUUUUGCAGAUUAGUUUGAUGAAUAAUUAAGGGUUAUUUAGUGAAUUAUUACCAAUUUUAUUAGUUGUUUUUAUUAUGGAUUAGAUUUCGGGAAAACCGUUAGAUUUUGGGUUUUUAAGAAAAUUGACUAGUUAGUUCAAAAACAUAUAGGGUUACGGAAUACACCCUUAGUUAAGUGUAUUAAAUAUUAAAUGUUCUUUCGAGUCGUUUUUGAAUAUGUCUCCUUUGUAUUCAGAUAAUCCUGAUAUUCUACCGGCAGGACGUCAGUAGAAUUUCCUUCGGUUUCAGCUUGUGUGUGUUGUUUGCUUUUGAGUCAGGUGAGUGGAUAAUUUUCCAUAUGCAUGAGAAAUAUUAUAAAUAUUUGAUUUGUUAAUAUGAAUUGGAUCAUGCUUCUUGAUAAUAUAUAUGCUGAUUAUUAUCCUUGAUAUGAUAAAGCAUGAUCAAUUAUUGAAUCUGAUUUCUUGAUAUGAACCAAUAUGAUUUGACUUCUGAAUUGAUAGCUCCUCAUUUGAUGGAUGUCAUGAGUUGAGCUUUGAGAUAUGAAUAUGUUUGUUUGAUUAUGAUUAUGAACCUAUGGUAUGUCAGUCAGAAUACCCAUGCUAACAGGGUAGUGUUAGUCUUUGUGCACAUCGUAUCUGAACCCUAGUUGGUCGGGGGAGUCACCAACCUGUGUGGACUGAUCAUCCCACAGUACGGAGCCUCAUGCUCAUUGCAUUUUGAUUUUCUGACGAGUUUUACCAUAUGAUAUUCUUGUUAUGGCCUAUUUGAUAAACCUUCGUAUAAGAACUAAAGCCAUACUUGUAUAUAUAUUUCUCAUUGUUAUAUUACCUCGUAUGUGUAUAUUGAAUGUUAUCUACUCACUGAGUUGUUGAACUCACCCUCUCAUUAUUUAUUCUUUUCAGGCUUAUAGCUUGAUAGCGGGUUACUUUUGUUGAACCUUCCGAACCUGCUUUUGGUUGUAAUUUGUAUCUUUCUUUUUAUGUCAAGUUAGUGCUCCAAAACUAUGAAAAAUUAUUAACUCUUGUAUUAAGACAAUUACAUUAUAUUAUGAAGUUGUUUGUUGUUAAUUAUGCGUUAAACUCUGAUUGAGUUGUUUAAAGGAUUGUAUGUAAGUUUGGGUUCGCAUAGGUUUGGAACCUUGGAGGGGAACCUUGCCUAUGUGCCGGUCAUGGAUCCGGGAUUCGGGUCAUGACAGAUAUUAAUCUUUGUUGUUUGGGGAUUAAGAAUUUGGUGAUAAAUUUCUUGUUGUGAAAUAGUUAUGGUAAAAUAUAAGAUAAAUCCUAGUGAACACGUCUUCCCAAAAUACACUGCGUGUACUGGACUCUCAAUGUUCAUUUUUGCCUCAUUUUGCCUUAAUUAAUUUUAACUGCAAAACAACUAGCUCAGUACCGCACCAGCAAACGAGAAUGGAAAAGCUCACCAAGAUGCCCUCAAAUUAAUGGAGUCAAUGGAGAAAAAAACUGGAGCUGCUGGAGGCCAGACGGCACAUGGUGGAAUAGUUCAUGCCCUGGCAUGCGUCAUCACUGUUCCACCAUGUGCCGUCGCGACCUCCAUUGAACAACAAUGAAAAACAUAUACGAAUUUAGCUUCAUGUCUUUAUAAGAGAAUUUCAUAAACAUACCAUAACAAAAAAUAUCAUAAAAUAAAUCUCUUAAAAAAUAAAAAUACAAUAAACAUGUAGGUUCAUAUUAUAAGAUAAUCAGUUUAUAUAAAUUGUUGACACCCCCAAUCAAUUAAGGAUCAAAUACGAUAUAUAUAAAUAUUAACAAUUAACAAGAUCUUAUUAGCAUGAAUAUUCUAACUAUUAUAUCAUAGGGUUAUAAUCAAACGAACAAAAUCAUUUUCUAAAAGCUCAACUCAUAUAAUUAAUUAAAUAAAAAACUAUCAAUUUAAAAAUACAUAAUUGCUCAAAUCAAGAAAUCUAUCUCAAUAAAUAAUAAUGUUUUAUAGAACAACAGAUAAUAAAUAUUAUAUAAAUUACUAAGAAGUACUAUCAAUUUAAUAUUAAUAAUUUGACUAUUUAUACUACUCCUCUGCAGCAUAUGAGAUAGUAAGUGAUAGAAUGGUCCCCAUGUUAUGGUUUAUAUUUUGCUUUAAACAGAGUAUAGUUGUACUAAAAAUACACCCCUUUCCCGAAAGGAAGGGGAAGAACACAAUCAAGGGAUUUCUUGUUGUUUGACUUCUCAUGUUUCUCUCCCACCACGGGCAACUGUUUAUUUUCGCCAAGGUGAAUUGAGGCUUCAAGUAGAAGAAAUUAUUUACUGGUUAGAAACUUGGUCGAUUUCACUGUUGUCUUUGAGACAAAUGAAACUGAGGUUUUUGGUUUGCAAUUUGGGCAGAUAAGGAUAAUCCUUAUUGUUUGGUGUUUGAGAAUUUGGUGCUAAAUUUCUUGUUGUAAAUUGCAGAAAAUAGUCAGGGUAAAAAUUUAAGAUGAAUGCUAGGGUACACAUCUUCCCAAAAUGCACUGGGUUCUGGAUUCUCAAUGUUCAUCUUGCAGUUUGACAAGAGAAUCUUUCCUUCACUUACACUAUCUUUUUGUUUGUUUGGCCGAUGCAUGAUUUUUUUACCUCAUUUUUCCUUGAUAAAUUCUAACUACAAAACAGCUACUUCACCAACAAGAUGGAAAAGGCUCACCAAGAUGUUCUCUUUGAAAAGAUUCUCAGUGAGUCGUUGACAUCUCAUUUUUGGAAUUUCUCCAAUAGCUUGAUGUCUACUCUCACUAUAUUGAGUAGGAUGACUAUAGAAUUACUCUGAUUUAUCAACACAUAUCAAAUUCUUGCUGCUGCUGAGGAAGAUAUCUGCACUUAGCCAUCAUAGAGGGUAGCGAAUUUUGUGUUGAUGGAAAUUACACUGACUCAUUGUGUACCAUCUAGAAUUCAAUUUUAAAAAAAAUUGCAAGAAAUGUUGUUUUUUCCUAAAUACAUCAAUCGGGUGUGGAUAGCUUGAUUAAAAUGCGACUUACUAAAAAGUCUUGGUCUUAAUAUGCAAAGAUGAUCCAAGUAUACCAUAUUUCUUUUAAAAUAAAACCCACAGAUCUAGUCCACGCAAAGGUACUGGAAUAUGGAUUUGUAAAAAUAAAAAUGAAAAUUUAUACGAAAUUGAAUUGUGCUAAAAAAACCCACAGAUCUAGUCCAUGAUCUACGGCUCCUCCAGAGUUCCGUAGUGGUGUCUUUCUCAACUAUUCUUUAAAUAAAAUGUGUGGGAUGUGAGAAAUCUUGUGCCUAUCUUCACCCCUCUCCUCCUUCCCGUAACGUUUCCUUAGAGAAUUUAUGUAGAGGCGCUGUCAAAACAUAGUCCGGUAGUGCUCUCAACAAUGGGCAUUUGAGAAUUCUAAACUCAACAAGUUGUGGCAUGAUGAAUAUUGAAGUCGUGGUGGAAUCUUCUUCUCCCACUCUCCUUUCAAUCCCAUCCCACUCCUCUAGUUCUUUGAGAUGCCAUAUGCUAAGUCUUUUCAAUUUGGGGAAAGCAGCGACUCUUGCAAUUUCUCCUUCAUUAAUAUUGGUAUUGCCACCAUUUUCUAUGCCUAAAAAUCCACCAUCCAACCUUCUCAGCUUCAUGCUCAUCCAUCUGAAAAUCUUGGAAGAAAGAACGUGCUACUAAGACUUGAAAAUACUCCUCUCCAACAAGCUCCAUACCUCUACUUGGAGUCUCCUUAAGAUAACCUUGAGCCAUCCACAUCUUCACCAACUGGUCUUUUUCCAUCUCGUAGUCUUUUGGAAACACCGUCUUGCCACAGAAGGUAAAUCGUAGUAACUCAAAAGCGGAGGUGGAAAUAGUGCUAUUUCAACAUGUUCUAGCUCCCACAGUUCGCUAGAUAAAACAUGUUCCCACUCUUCUCUUGUUCUUUUACACUGCACUAGACCUCCUAAUACCUUGGCAGCUAGAGACAAGCCCUUGAACUUGCUUGCAAGGAGAUCCCAGGAAGGAACAUCGUAUCUGCUGUAGGCUGUGAGUAUUUUCUUCAGCAUCCCUCAUUUUUCAUGUAAGAAUUGCAGAGCUCCAUUCAUCUAGCACAUCAUCGAUAUCAUAGCAUACAUCUUUGAGCUUGUCUAGCCAAUCUCUUGCAACCUUAUCCUUCACUUGCUUUCUAUCUGCAUCUUCAAGGACAGAUUGGAUAGCAAGGAGAUUGCUUUUCAGCUUGUCGACACACCCCCUACUAGGUUCACCUCUUCCUGUACCUAUUGGUGCAGAAAAGAUAAGAAAGUUGAAGCAGAGGAAACAUUUCUAUGAUUUCUUUAAACAGUAUCUCACAUAAUUUAAUCUCCUGAACUACUAACUAAAGUGUUGAGAGCCAAUUUAAGUUCUCAAGGCUGAAGACCCCAACUAGACUACUGUUACCUAGAAUUCAUUUUACCUACAAUACUCAGUAUGUGUGGCAGAAAAUCGCAAUACCUAAAUGGCUGAAUUUACAAGUAUAUCAAUCAAUUAUGUAAUGAACCGGGUGCAAGUGCAUGGCGCAAGUAUAUUAAACCUACUGAAUUUUUCUUCUACUUUUUAUAUACCAAACCUUGUAAAAAACACCACUGCUCAAAUUCAAAAAUAAAAAGUGGAGGAAAUUUUAAAGUGAUGUACCCCUCUUUGAGUGUCAAGAUAGCGGUGUGUACAGCAUCAUCAAGCUCCAUAUCAUCAGUGUAUCUACAGAGCACAUAUUAAGUUAGGGAAAACAAAAGUUGUUCAAAUCAAAUGAAGAUAUGUGGACAAAAAACAAAAAUAUUUACCAUGUUUCUGUCCAUUCAAUUCUUUUUUUCUCACUUUCUUUUUCUUUUUUCAAAAAAAAGAAAGGCAAUCCAAUUCUUCUUGGAUGGGGUGUAGCUCAAAGUAAGCUGGCAGUUGAAAAUUGAAGGUGGCUUGAUCUUUGAAUGAAGAAUAUGUUUGGCAGUUGAUGGCUGGAGGUGGAAACACAUUUGUUGCUAGCUAGGAGAACCCAUGAAGAUGUUUAGAAGUUUUUGCAGAAUCAAUGCAUUUCAUGGUACCAAAAACAAAUAAAUACCUCUUCUCAAGAAAUGUUUUUGCAUUUGAAACAUUUUUCCCCAUUGCUGAGGCUUUCCAUGAGAAGUAGGAACCUGAUGGAUCGACCUAGCCAAACAAAUACAAAACAUAACAUCAUCGAAAAUGACAAGAAAAUGAGAAAAAAAGAAGAAGAGAGAGAGCUUAAAUUGCAACAACAUUUGAUUCCGAGAGAAGUUUGGCCUGAUCCAACGGCAGUCAAUGCGUGCUCAAUCUGUACUGGCUUUCCGGUAGGACUGAAAGUAGUGAGAGAAAAGGAGUACUGGCUAUCACCCAUGGUUUAUUGCUUGAAGACGCAGAGAGGAAAAACUGAGAAUGCGAGCGUGUGGGAGAGAAAGGCAGGGAUAUUUACUUGGGGUUUUAACUUUGCUUUUCUCGUUGGAGAAGAAGGUGUUUUCUUACGAGGGCUUUUACAAUGGAGUAUAUUGGGCUUUUAUGACGGCAGGUUAGUCCUCUUUACAUUGAGCUCAGUGAAGGCUCGGAACCAGUUUUGUUUUUAAGAAUUAUUAACAAAUUUUAUUUAUUUAUUAAUAUACAUAAUUUUAAUUUAUUUAAUUACAUUUAUAUAUAAAAUUUUUAAUUUAUUAUAUUUUUUUGAACUAGAAAAAUAUAUUUAAAGAACUGCAUGUAUAAAUGUUUAUAAAAAAUAAAAAUAUUUGACUCACAAUAAAUCAUCCAUACUCUUAUAAAAAAGAUGAGUUGCUGCUGAAUUUUGUUGUUGAUUUGUAAUUUAAUUAUUGUUGAAGAUUUUCUGUGUUAGGUUUGGAUAACUUUAUUUGGAUUUAAUCCACUGAAACUGAGGUUUAAGAAUUUCUUGGAUUUAAUCCACUGAAACAGUUGCUUGAUCAAGAUCAUUGGCUUGUUUGUAGGCAGAUAAAGGCAUAAAAAAAAAAACAAAUAUCAUCUUAGAUUAAUUAUAGAUAUGAGUUACAGUAGUUGAAAUUUGAAAGGCAAUUUUUUUAGCGUGGCAUUUGGAGAAUUUAAGUAAGGAAUAAGCUUCACGUGAGCGAGUUAAUAUCACAGCUGCAUUUGAUAGAUUAAAUGAUAAGUAGGAAAUAAAAUCGAAUUACAGUAAAGUUUGAAUGAAAUCCUCCAUGUAAGUAAAGAGGUCACAUAGAGUAAAUAGUAAGGCUUACAUAUUAUUUACAUUCAACCUUAGCAAACACCAAAGCAAAUAAUUAAUACACUCAGAACCAAAUCUUUUACCGUAGAAGAAUUUACUUGUUCCUGCCGGUCCAACAGACUUCCGUACGUUGUGGUGUCCCAUAGAUAUGAUCACUAAAACGAAUGUUUGGGAUGUGAGAAAUCUUUUGCCAAUCUUCACCCAUCUCCUCCUUCCCGUAACGUUUCCUUAGAUUGGGGCACCUUUGUAUGUAUAAUUCCUGUAUAGGCGCUGCCAAAACAUAGUCUGGUAGUGCUCUCAACAACGGGCAAUGACGAAUUCUCAACUCUCGAAGUUGUGGCAUAAUGGAUAUUAUUGAAGUUGUGUUGGCAUCUUCUUCUCCCACUGAUCUCCUUUCAAUUCCAUCCCACUCUUCUACAUCUCCGAGAAAAAAAAACGUAAGUGUUUUUAAUUUGGGGAAAGCAGUGAUCCUUGCAAUUUCUCCUUCAUUAAUACUGGCAUUCUCAUCUUUUUCUAUACCUAAAAAUCCAGCAUCCAACCUUCUCACCUUCAUCAAAAUCAAAUCCAGGCUUUCAAGGUGGGGCAAUCUUCCCAACGGAGGCAAGACCUCCAGCUUUGUACAAUUAUCCAGUCUAAGCGCCUGUAAUCUGGUUAAUGUCAUCAUCCAAUUUGGCAAAUCCAACCCUCCGUACCCAUAUAUGCUUAGAUUUUCCAAGUCUGGCGGAGGCUGUAAAGCUUCAAUUAAAAUGCCGUUAUCCUGGUUGUGGUUGAAAUACAAUUCCAAACGAAGCAGGCGCUUCUUAUUCUUGAGUUGUGCUUCUGCAGCGUCACUCGCAUCUUCUUUACCUCCUCCUAGCUUCCGUAUCUCAAGACUCCCUCCAAUGUGAUUUAAGUCUUUUAAAUCUCUUAGAUUAGCUGCUUUACUUUCAUUCUCACCACCACCACACACACUAAACACAUCUAAUGUUUGAAGACAUGUUACCCUCUCUAUUCCCUUUGGUAUGAAGGCCACUCUUGAACCAUAAAUCCGGAGAUGCCUCAAUUUGAUAAGUUUUCCAAUCGCCUUGGGCAAUUCCUUGAGAGACCAACACCAAAUAACGUCUAGGGAUUGUAGAUUGCAUAAAUCACACAUGGUUUCUGGCAGGGACUCCAACUCUCCACAGGCUACCAAAUUGAGGUGUCUCAAAUGUAUCAAUUUCCCUAACUCCUUUGGUAUUUCUUUGAUUGAAGACCUUGACAAAUUCAAUGACCUGAUGCAUGUCAACUGUUUGAACAAAUCAGGCAGUGCAGCUCCAAGCGAAGGGUCUCUAGUGUCGAUCAAGAGGCUGCGAAGACCUUUUGCUUUGUGAAUGGACACGGGAAAAGAGGUCUCGUUGGGCAGCAUCAUGCUUAAAUGACGAACCCUUUCAAUUGAAGUCUCCAUUGUUGCUUCUCCAAGUUUACUGGCAUCCACUGUUAGACAUUCAUUUUUUGUCAUAUAUUGGGCAAAAUCAUGCACUAUAUCAUGCAUCUUGAAUCUAAUAUCUUCUCGACCAUACGUCUUAAAAUCUUGGAAGAAAGAGCGCGCUGCUAAGACUUGAAAGUACUGCUCUCCAAUAGCCUCCAUAUCUCCACCUGAAGUCUCCUUGAGGUAACCUUGAGCUAUCCACAUCUUCACCAAAUCAUAUUUGCGCAUCUCGUAGUCUUUUGGAAACAUGGCACAAUACAAGAAACAUCGUCUUACCACAGAAGGUAAAUCGUAGUAACUCAAAAGCAAAGAUAGAAAUAUUCCUCUUUCAACCUGAUCUCUAUCAACCUCAUCUAGCCCCCACAGUUCGCUAUAUAAAACACGCUCCCACUCUUCUCUUGUUCUUUUAAACUGCAUUAGACCUCCUAAUACCUUGGCAGCUAGCGGCAAGCCCUUGCACUUGUUAGCAAUUUUAUCACCGAUAUCUGUCAAUCUUUCACGCUCAUCUUUGCUUCUUUCCUGGAAUGCCACAUGAUUGAAUAUUGACAUGCAUAUCUCAUCAGACAAUUUCUCAACAUUGAUCUGGUGGUCAGUUCCCAUAAUCGUUGCCACAGUGCCCUUACGAGUGGUCACUAGAAUUCUGCUUCCUCGUGCACAGCCUGUGAAAGAUGGUUUCAGUUGUUCCCAUUGCCUAUGAUUGUCUGUCCAUACAUCAUCAAGGACAAGAAGCAACCUCUUUCCCUUAAUGGAUUCAGAAACCAUUUGCAAAAGGGAUUGCAAUUCAAUCAAAUUCGGUUCACUCCCUUGAAGCUGCUCAAGGAUAGCUUUUGCUAUUCUAACCUCAUCAAAUGGUUCUGAAACACAUACCCAUAUCUUUUUCUCAAAAUGAGCCGUUACCUCAGCAUCCUUAAAAGCUAGUUGGGCGAGAGUUGUUUUUCCAAUUCCGCCCAGCCCUACUAGAGUGAUGACAUCAACGUCCCGUGCUUCCUGACUACUUUCACCCACCAACUUGCUUACAAUAGUUUUCUUUUCAACAUCUCGACCAAUCACGCUUGAUUCAUCAACAAAGGAGGUACUUGUUAGUCGUUGUAGUUCAUCAGUGGCUCUGUACAGAUCAAAGCCAUACAUAACUCUCUCUUUGGCAAUGUCAUCCACUUUUUCACAUACUUCUUUGAUCUUAAAGGCAAUGUCGCGACGUCGAACCACUUGAUUGAGACAAAAGCGAGGAGAUCUCAGGAAGGAACAUCGUAUCUUCUGUAGGCUGCGAGUAUUUUCUUCAGCUUCCUCCAUUUUCCAUCUAAGAAUUGCAGUGCUCCAUUCAUCUAGCACGUCAUCCAUAUCAUAACAUGCAUCUUUGAGCUUGUCUACCCAAUCUCUUACAGCCUUAUCCUUCACUUGUUUUCUAUCUGCAUCUUCAAGGACAGAUUGGAUAGCAAGGAGAUUGCUUUUCAGCUUGUCACAUUGUUUCUUCACACCCACUACUAGGUUCACCUCUUCUUGUACCUAUUAGUGUACAAAGGAAAAGAAACGCUAAGCAUGGGAAACAUUUCUGUGAUUUCAAGACAAUUUCACACCCCCUACUAGGUUUACCUCUUCCAAUACCUAUUAUUGUAGAACAGACAAGGAAGUUCAAGCAUAGGAAACAUUUCUAUUUUGUAUUAAUAUAUUUUAUUGUGAAAUGGAUUUACUAUAUUAAUAUUUUAUAUAUAAUUAAUAUAGGCAUGAAAAGAGUUCAAUAUUCUCACGAGAGAAGUAAUAUUUCUCCUUUGAACCGACAUAAAAUCUGGUUUUCAUUUUACAUUAAACUAUAGAUAUAUGGAUGUAUAAAGGCAAGUGAAUAAAAGGAUCUGCAUGUAUAUAUUUGUGAAGUCAAUUUAGAAAUAAAGGCAUGAUAAUAAGAUUGUGUGAUAACUAUAUAGUUUUAAUUCACACCAAAUACUCACUCGCUAAUCCUUUGAACUUUUUAUUGAUUAUUUUACCUUUAAUAGUUCAGUUUAAAGAGAAUUGGCAACUCUUGUUUUGUCUUUUUUGGUUUUCUUAUAUUUGGAAUGAUAUAUUUUCUUUAUGUUAUUUUUAGAAAUAUAAAAAAUAAUAAAACUAGAAAAAGAAGUCUUUAAUAAAAUCGAAAUAUAUACUUGAGGAUUUAAAAUAUUAUUUUUAUUUUUUCAAGUUAAAAGUAUUCAUUUUAUGAGAGGAAGAUAAAAGGCUUGAACUUUAUAUAUAUUUCUUAUCUUUGCCAGGUAAAUCAGGUUAUUGCAGAUGGCAGAAAAAUACCUGUUGAGCAACGAUCGUGGUUAAGUGCUCCAAGAUCGGAGAUAGAAGUGCCUCAGCCAUCGUCUGUUUAGUUCUGAUUGGAGAGAGAGAAGCAGUGAUGAUAGGAAGACAGAGAGAAAGAGAGGGUGAAGGGAAGGAGGCGGCUGAUUGUGAAUGGAAGUUAGUUUAUAUACUUAGGGUUUGGCGUUGCAGGUGAAGCUUUUGUAUUUUAGUGUCUCCACAUUUUCUUAUUAGUAUUUGUAGGGACAGGGUAAAGGGAGAUCAGCGCACCUUGUAAUUUUAGCUGGCAGUAAACCUGAAGCAUAGUUUUAAAACCCGGACCGGCCCGGCGGGUCGAUCUGGGACCGGUUCGGGUGAAGGCCAAAACCCGUUUGGAAAUUGACCCGGCUAGACCGGGGACCUGGUUGACCCGGCAAGACCCGGUCUCAAACCCGUUGACUUUUAUUUUUUUUUGUUUUUUUUUUUUUGCUAAAACGACGUCGUUUUGAUUUUUUUUAAAAAAAAUAAAAAAUAAAUUUUGACCCGGCCGACCCGGUCAAGACCCGAUGACCAGGUCAAAACCAGGAACCCGGGCCUUGGACCGGGCCGACCACCGAGCCGGAUCUUAAAACUAUAACCAGAAGUAAUGAGAAAAUAAUUUUAGCCAGCCGGCCCAAUCUAUUUUAGGCUAAUAGUGUGUUAGGCAAAACACAUAUAAGCCUUAUCCCUUUAUUUUAUUAUUUUUUAUUUUAAUAUUUAGCUAAAUAAUUUUUUUUGAAAAUCAAAAAUCAUUAUGAAUGUUUUUGAAUUUAUUUAUGGGUUUCUUUUUUUAUUAUUAUUCAUUGUAUAUUUGUAUAUUUGAUUUUGUGGAUUUUUAUGGUGGAAUGUAAAUAUAGUAUACGAUACAUUUGUUUCUCUUAAAAAAAUAUGUAUGUUUUAAUUUAAAUUCAUUUUAUUCAUUAAUCUAACAACUAUGUAAGUUUCUAGUGACCUUAAGAUUUGUGAGACUGGAACUAGUAAUUUGAGGUUCAACAUCCCAGGUCGAGAAUUAGGUCUUAAUAUGGAAGGGUUAAUCUAGGUUAACCUAAUUUUUUUAAUAAAAAAAUUAAAAUAAUAUCGUUUUGACCGAAUUUUUUUUUUCCAAAAACAAAACUACCAAUAUUUAAACAAGUUUUACUUGAGUCUAUCGGGAUAUUUUAACCAGGUCAAACCAUAUUAAUUCUUUUCUUUAUUAUAUUUUUUUGAAGUUCUUACCUUUAUUACCAAAAAAAUCCCCUUAAUUUCAGAGUCCUUACAUCUCUAAUUAAUUAUAAUUACCUUACCAGUCAUAAUGUUCUUUUCUGUACCUGAUGAAUGAUAUUAUUUCUGAGAUUUUUGAACAUGUAAUGACGGAAGCCUGCGCUGGGCUGGUUCCCUUUGUUACGUUGCUGGAGUCGCAAUGUUUCGAGGUAUCAGACCAAAUUAAUUCUCUUGCUUUUUGCAGCAAAGCUGUAUCUCUUGCUACUUGCUAGAAGCGUAAUCUCAGGAUACCACUGUUUUGGUGUUGCCUCUCUCACCAUUGUUAUUAGGUUGAAUUAAAUACCAGAAGAUUUCUGAGUAUGCAAUGACUGUAUGAUUUAACUAACCAAUACACUAUCAAGGGUGUGGCGUAUGAACUUCAUGCGCCGGCGUGUGUCACCACCGUUCCACCGUGUGCCGUUGCGGCCUCCCCAUUGAAGGUCCAAUUUUCAAGCUCACAAGCAUGACAUCUUUAAACCUUACUUGAGGUUCAACAUCCUAGGUCAAGAAUUAAGUCUAGCAUGAAAGGUUAAUCCAAGUUAAUUUAAUUUUUUUUUAAAAAAAAAAUUAAAAUAACAUAGUUUUGAUUGAUAUUGAUUUUUUCAAAAAAAAAAAAUCCAACAAUAAUUAUAUUUUAACCAGGUCAAUUCAUAUUAAUUCUUUUCUUUAUUAUAUUUUUUGAAGUUCUUACCUUAAUUACCAAAAAAUAUCCACUUAAUUUUGAGAUAUAUUCAAUUUGGUUUUGUAAACAGUACCUUAACAUAUUUUGAUUGAAAUUGAUUUUUUUUUUAAAAAAACCCAACAAUAUUUAAAUAAGUUUUACUCGGGUCUACCAAGAUGUUUUAACCAGGUCAAGGCAUAUUAAUUCAUUUUUUAAAUUAAGUUCUUACCUUAAUUACCAAAAAAAAAAUCAGCUUAAUUUUGAGAUAAAUUAAAUUUGGUCCUAUAAACAGUACAUUUUAUUUAGUUGAUCCAUCGAAUAUCUGGUGCUAUUCAAUUCAAUUUAACCAAACUUUUAUUUGGUUGAGAAGAAUUUGACAAUCAGAAUCCUGUAAUAUUGAUGAUGGCUCUUGAACUGGAAACCAUGUUUAUAUCGCAGAUAUAUUCUUGGACACCAUUCAUAUAAAGGUGAACAAUUAAGCACUCUCAAAAACCAAAUCAUAGGGAAGAGCUCAUCAACUCGAGCGCCACCAGAGAUUUACAUUUGCAUGUGAGUUGGGAUGCAAGAAUCAAUGAUUCUUAUGAGGCUGAUCACACAAUUCUAUGUGAAUUUGGGUGCGCAAUACUUUUAAGGAGAGAACUCAUCCUAGUCCAAGCACAUUAAACUUCGGAAUUCUUAUGGCAUAAGGUGUACGAUACUAAAUACACAAGUCCUAGUUAAUAUCCUCUACCAUGCAAUGCAGUGGUUCAGUCGCACCAUUUCAAAUUGUUAUUAUGUCUAUAAUCUAUGUUCAGGUACUGCAAUCUAUCUUGAAUUCAUGGUCUUCACUUAAUAACAAGUUUGGUCUGGAGAAUCCUUUAACUUGAAAGGGGACUUGUCUUUUACUUGUAGAAAUGCCAACAUUAAAUUGUUAAUAUUAAAUUUUUUUCUAUUUAGUUAUUAAACUUUCAUGACACGGAUUCCGGGUUUGACAGGUUAACCUGGUUUGACGAGUUAACCCAGUUAAUUCUGGGCUAACCCAUUAAUUUGUUUUUUCCUUUUUAAUUAUCAAACUUUCACGAUGUGAAUUCAAGGUAUGAUGGGUUAAUCUGGUUUGAAAGGUUAACCCAAUUAAUUCAUAUUUUUUUUCUUUUUUUUCAUUAGUUUUUUUUUUCUGUUGGUUUUUUUCUUUGUUUUUUUCUUUUUAACUAAUCUAUUUAAUUAUCACACUUUUAUGACACGACCUUGCAGCCAGAUCUACGUCCAAUGCUAUUGGGUAUAGUAUUGUAGUGCAUACACUUUUAUGCUAAGAGUUAACCCAAGUUUAAUGUUAUUAUUAAUAUUAUAAAUAUUACUCUUGGAUCAGGCGUUGCAACUAAAUCUAAAAUUCUUGGAUAUAACUUUGUAAAAAAACCUAAUAUUUUUAGAUCUUGGCUUUUUUUUAAAUGUAAAAAAUAAUUAACCUAUGGCAUCGCGCGGGGCAUGUAACUAGUAAUUUCUAAAAGGAAACUCAUCCUAAACUUCGGAAUUCUUAUGAAUUAAGUGUACCAGGCUAAAUAUCCUCUACCAUGUAAAGUAGUGAUUCGGUCGCUCCAUUUCAAAGUAUUUUUAUGUCUAGAAUUUAUAUGUUUUGGUAACUUUUUUUUUUUUCUGGGUGUUCAUGGUCUUCACUUAAUAAAAGGUUUGGUCUGGAGAGUCCUUGAACUUAAAAGGGGCUGUGAUGGCAUUUGGAAGGCACACGUACUGGGGGACUUGUCUUUUACUUGCAGAGAUCAUAUCCAUUGGUGAACAUUUUUCGCGUUAGGUUUGGAUAACUUUAUUAUGAUUUAAUCCACUAAAUCAAUGUGUAUCAUGUUUAAAAAAGAAAAAAGAAAAAACAGAGAGAGAGAGACGAUGUGAGAAUAAAUGGGAAGUAGGAAAUAAAAUCCAAGUCAACAAUAGAUUACAAAUGAUUACAAUCCAAUUACGGUAAGGAGGUGUAUGAAACAAACGGUGCUUAAUACAACACUGAAUGAAAUCCUCCAUUUGAUUAUACCAGAAUGCCCUUCGAUUUGAUUCCAAAAAUAUGAAGGGAAAAUCUUCAAAUGCACAAAGUAAAUCGGAACCCACAGUGAAGUAGCUCUUCAGUAUCUUCUAAGCCCAAGCUGUCAAACACAGACCAAAAGCAAACGUGUCAUAACCAAAAUAACCCAAUGAAUGGUAGAUGUUAAAAUGAGCAUUCCAUUUUCUGAAUGAAAAAAAUCCCAGUGACCUAGCUAUGACUUACAUAAUUAAUUAAAAUGGAUUUGUUAAAAUAUAGUAAAAUAUUAUACCGUUAAGAAUUAACACUGGUAGAAGAAUUUGUUGGGCGGAAUCCAGCGAUCGGUGAUGAACUGAUUAUUACUUAACGGAGGGGCAAGCACACUGACAACAAUAUUUUACGUGGUUCGGCAAAAUCACCUACAUCCACGGGAGAGAGUCCAUUUAUUAGAGAUUAGAAAAAGGAUAUAAUAAAUAUAUAGAGGAGGAUCUAAUCACUCAACUCCCAUCUCUCUUGCUGUCCUUGCAGCUGCUGCAAUGGCUGCUGCCAUUGCAGCUCUCUUUUUCUCUCUAUCCUCUUACGUUUCUCACACACUCCUCACCAGAUUUAGCUCUCUUUGCAUGCUUCUUUUAUAGGCAAUGAAUGGUCAUCAUGGAGGGGCCAACAUGCCACCAUUAGUGGCACUAAUGGAGCAACCACUUGCUUGGUGGUGGUGGCCACUUGCUUGGUGGUGGGGGUAUUGCCAAUAAAUGGCAAUAUCCUAACAGAAUUUACAUGCUCCGUCCGGUUCUAAUUAAAGAGUUCUGUCUUUCUCACCUAUAAUAAUAUAUCAUGAAAAUAAAUGUUUGGGAUGUGAGAAAUCUUUUGUCAACCUUCACCCAUCUCCUCAUUCCCGUAACUUUUCCUUCGAAUGCGGCAACCACUUAUGUAUAAUUCCUGUGGAAGGGCUGCCAAAACAUAAAAGCUGUCCCGUUUAUGUUGGAUUAUGCAAACAUGGAGGUAUCUAUAUUGAUUCUGAUAUCACAGUCUGAAUUUAUUGUCUUCCGUUAGUAAAUCUAUUGGUCUGAAGAAUCCUCUGUCUGGAAGUUCUUUGAAUGGGGCUGUGAUGGCAUUUAGAAAGCACAGGCACCAGGGGGCUUGCCUUUCACUAGCAGAAAUCAUAUUUAUUGUUGAAGAUUUUUUGUGUUGGGUUUUGAUAACUUUAUUUGCAUUUAAUCCACAAAAUCGAUGGGUAUCAUCUCUUUUAGAUGAAUGGUUUAGCUUCCAAGUCUACCAUUCUCUCAUUUAUUUGGACUUAAUCCACUGAAACUGAGGUUUUAUUUGCGCGGAUAAUGAUAAUAUUUGGUGCUAAAUUUCUUGUUGUGAAUUGCAGAAAACAGCUGCUUGAUCUUCACUAGGAUGGUGGUUGCAAAUAAUAAUUAUGCAACCCGGUACGAGUUGCAUGUUAAAUAACUAGUGUAUAUGUAGAUACAGAUGAUGGUAUUUUUUUUUUAUAAUGACCCGUCCGUGUCGUUGUAAGAGGGGCCACCGUUGAUUGUGCCUUGGCCAUGGAGUGAUAUUCCACGCACCACCAACACUGUUCAAGAGCCACACGAACAUGGAGGAAUUACAGGGGCUGGCAGGGGCAGGGUCCUGCAAGGUUUUUUUUUUCUUCAAUAAAUUAGAUUUUUAUCUUUAAAAAUAUAAAAUUUAAAAUUUUGGCCCUCCCUCUAAAAUCUUUUAUCUAAUUUGACAUUCCCAAACUACAAUUCCUAACUCCGUUGCUUACUAUACACACGAAGUCAUUGUUUUAUGAUGAAAAAAUAAUAAAUUUUUUCUUCUUUUCUUGUAUUUUUAAAUUUUGGUUUUCUUUUAUCUUAGAUUUUAUGAAUGAUGAAUUCCAUAACAAGGAUGAUACAUGCCCAUUAAUCAUACAUGUCAUUAAUAACUUUAAAACAUAGACACCUAAUGGUGAAAAUUAUAGAUACAACCAUCAAUUAAAAAAUAAAAACAGCGAUUAAAUAUAUAAAAAAAGUAAUGGAAGUACAAGAAAUAAAAUAGAAAAAUUAAAAUUAGAGACACUUCCAUUGAAAAAUAUAAAUAAUUAGAGGCCCUGAAAACACUAUACACACACACAAGAUUAAGCGCAUUGAAUAAACAACAUGGAUUGUUGGAGUGGCUGUUUUUCCAGGCCUUGGUGAGGUGGUGCAAGUAAAUGAAUUCACACCAAAUACUCACUCGCUAAUCCUUUUCAACUUUUUAUUGAUUAUUUUACCCUUAAUAUUUCAGUUCAAGGAGAAUUGGCAACUCUUGUUUUGCCUUUUUCGGUUUUCUUUGUUAAAACUUCCUAAUCGUGUAUACGAGCAUAAAAGAAUAAUAAUAAUAAUAACAACAACAAUAAAAAUAAUUACUGCAUUAAUUUUUCUCGGAAAAUGUUUUGAUGGGCACCUUUACAUAUUUUCCAUAGAAAGUGUCUAAGAUGCUCUAUGAUAAGAUUUCAAUCCAAUUAAAUAUUUUACAUAUUCAUGGAAAAUCCUCUCCUUGAAUUCUUUUUGCCUUUAUAUCAUAAAUUUUUUAAAAAAACCCUAUUCAUGUUAAAACAAACUUUUCUAUUUUAAUUUUUAAAAAUAGAAUGUUUAAUAAGAGAUAUUAUUAAAUAAUCAUAUAAUAUUAUAAAUAUUAUUAUUAUGAAUUUCACUUUUCACAUGAACAAGAAAGUAUUGCAUUAAAAAUAUCUAAUGAUAAUAAAAUUCUCUUAUUAUACAAGGUAAUUAAAGUUUUUUUAACUCAAUAUAUGUUGAUCAAUACAUGGAUGUAAUUAUCCUGUUAUUUGUGGAUAUCAUUAAAUAAUUAGUAAAAAAAAUAGGUUUUCAUGAUUAGAAAAAUAAAGAAACUUUGAAAAAAAAGAGACAAAAAAAGACAUAAUAUUUAAUGUCUUUGAUUAUUUAUUUAAAAAUUGAUAUUUAUUAACAUUUUGAUACUAGAUAAAUGGGGGAUCUAAUCGGAAAUGUAUUUUGUCUGUAACCCAAAUGAGAAUAAAAAGAUAAUCGGAGGAAAAACAAGUUGUCCUUUUCCCAAAAUAAAAAUAAAAGAGAGGAUAUGGUGUGGACAUUGAGAAAACAAUCAUUUUCAAUAACAACUGAUUAUAGUCAAUUUCAUCCAAAUACUUAUCUCUUGGAAUGGUGUUUUUUUUUUUUUUUUUGUAAAAAAAUCAUUUCCUAUAAUAGUAUUCCAUGCUAAUACAAGAGUUCGGAGGUUUGAUAUAAUAUAAAUAUGAAUCACAUUAAUUAUUUAAUUCCAUCCUAAUAACUGAAAUCCUUUUCUUUUGAGUUCUAUGGACCUGAUCAAGGAACAUUAAUCAUGCAGGAAGAGCAGGCCUCCAUGCCCUUAUGCAUUGUUCUGAUUACAGUGGUAACCUGUUCAAUUUGAUCUUCGCUUGAGCAUGCUGAUAGAAGUACUUUGGCAGUUCCUCCAUCAGGGUGACAUCCAGCAUCGAUCAUUUCUUCAAAGAUUUCCAAGCAUCUUGCGUAUAGUUUCUUUCUAGAGUAGGCUCCCAAUCUUGAAGUCCAAGUCACAACAUCAGGUUUCAGAUUUUUGGUUGGAAGUGAUUGGAAAAUACCUUCCAUUCUCUCGAAAAAUCCUGCUCGUCCAUAUAUGUUGAUUAAGAUGUUGUAUGUACUGAUAUCAGCUCCAUAAGGUCCCUUUUCCAUUGCAGUUAGAACUUCCUCCAUCUUUUCAAAUUGGCCAAGCCGGCCAUACAAGUGCAUCAUGCUGUUGAGGACAAACGUGUCUGGUUCAAGCCCAGAUUCGCUCAUCUGGUUAACAAUUUCUUCGCAUUUAUCCACAUUUCUUGCCCUUGAGUAGGCACACAGAAGUAGCAUGUGUGAUUUCAUUGUAGGGGUUAUUCCUAGUCGCUUCAUCUCAUUGAAUACCGCUUGAGCAUCUAAAAAACAUGAAGGAGCAGCCAAAUCAUUAAGCCAAAACUUCAUUCAAGGAGCAUAUACGAAAAACAAGAGGAAUUUCUUCUAAGCAAGGAAAGGUGUCGCAAAUGGAUGAAAUGCUGAUAGCCUGAUAAUAUCUCAUACAACUUUAUCUUGUUUCCUAGGAAAUCUUAGAAAUAUUGUGGAAGAUCUCCAGAAUAAAAUUGAACACUGUUCCAAAAUAUAAUCCAAAUGUUGCAAUAUAGAUCCCUUCAAGUUCGUAGUUGAUCCGAACGUUUUUAAACCAUUACAUGCUCAAAAUGUUCCCAAAUUCUCUGGAGCUUAAUCUUUCCCCAAUUCUCACUUAAUAAAGUACAUUGAUACUAUUUGGUUCAAGCAUCUUACCCUCAUGAAGGCCAGCUCUCCCAUACGCAUCUACCAUGAUGUUAUAUGAAGCUCUAUCCGGCUCACAGCCCAUGUGCCGCAUGAGUGAAAAUAUUUCUGCAGCCCCGUAAGGAAAACCUGCACGACUGUUAGGACAAGAUAGUUAAAUAUCAUCAGUUCUAUUGGGAAUCUCUUGGAAGCAAGAAGCAGCACCUCCAGUAUUCUUUUCCAUUUUCUUUGAAAGAUUAUUGAAACACCAUAUCAUUCUAUGAUACUAACCUGUAAGCUUCCAUGAGCGCGUUGUAAGUAUACACAUCAGGCUCAAGCUUAUCUUCUUGCAUCUGCUCAAAUAUUUCUUCUGCCUUCUCACAGAGUCCCUCUCUAGCAAACGCGUUCACCAGAGCUGUGUAUGUGCAGAUAUCUGGUCUGCAUUUUUGACUUCUCAUUUCGUUAAACAACUUCAAGGCCAUGUAAGAUUGACUUGCCUGUGUACAGGAAAAAGAUUAGCAAAAUGAGUUUUUAAGGAUCCUAAACACCACUGUUGUCCAGUUAUCAGAAUUUAUAACCAUAUCCUUGAAUUUAGUCUGAUAAUUGUUUGAAAUUGAAUGCAUAUAUUUCAAGUUGUUUGUUGUAUCACUGUAGACUCGUAGACGUACGAGUUACGCAUAAUUUUCUACUGGGACCAGUGGCAUUUCAAGAAGAUCAGAUUUGCAGAAUAAUUCAGAGCCAAAUACCACUGAGCUUACCUUCCCAUGAAGGUUGAUCAACAGUGUAUAGGUGUCAGUAGAGGGCUGGCAGCCAUCAUUUUUCAUUCGCUGAAAGAUCUGAAUUGCUCUUUGAGGGUUUCCAGCCUUCGUUAACCCAUCAAUAUAAGCAUUGUAUACAAUUGCACCUGGCCAAAAUUAGAGUAUAUGCUCACUUUUCACUCAUAGAAUGUGCAUGCAAGUGUAUCAACUAUCAACAGAACAGCUUGAAAAACGAAAAUCUGAGACGUAAAUAAGAGAAUGAAACACAAAAGCAGAACUAAUGCCCUGUAUUUCACCACCACAAAAAGAAGAGAAAUAACCCACGCAAUCUCAUAAAGGAAAGCUACAGAAGCAAGUUUGUCAUCCAGGAGCCUCUAGCCUAAUCCAGUUCCGGUCUAGCUAAAUUAGCAAGGGGGUCCCUCUUGGUUUAAUCAACCAUUCUCUAAGCAUGGUGAUGUAGAUAAGGAGUAGUAAUCACUACUAUUAUAGUAGCAACAAGAAAUAUGCAGACCAUGAACCAAUCUUCUCUUUUCCUACAUUUAGUAUACUUCACCCCCGAAAAGAAAAAAGAAAUACAGCUCUGUGCAAUUAUUGAGCAAGGUUUCAAAAUUUAAAACGAAUUUAACCCCACAAAAAAUCAAUUUUUGAGGCAAAGAAUCUUACAAGUUGAGGAAAUUUUUGUUUUGUAAGAAAUGGUUGAUGUAGUCCAAUAACUUCUUGAAAAUACAAUUUCCCUAAAAGCUAAGAAGAAAUGAAUUGGUAAACACAUACUUGGAGGAAGGCUAUACUUUCGCAUAUCAACAAAGGCAGCUUCAGCUUUUUCUAACAAUCCACAUGCACAGUAAGCCUUUAUAAGAAGGGCAUAAGUGUCUUCAGUAGGGAUACACCUGGCUUGAAGAAGAUCAACAUAUGUUUCUUCUGCCUUCUCGUACAAAGAUUUUUGCCCAUAAGCAUCUAUUAGUAAAUUGUAGCACAUGACAUCUGUCUGGAAGGAGCUCUUGUACAAUAUCCAUUGACAUAUCUGGAAAUUUUAGAGUUACACCCAACAAGAUUAUUAAGAAUUAAGAACAAACGAUAUGAAAAAUGUCUAUAUAAUAAAUAGAGACAGUAAAGAGAUUUGUUUCAUUUAGUUGUAGGAAAAUGCUGGUAUAUGAGAAUUCCAAACACCAACUGCAGCACCAACCACUUAAAGGAGAUUUGAACAAUCGAGGAUUCAGUCUUAAUGGUUGAAGAGAAAAAUACUGUACAAAAAUCCUGCCACAAAAAUUUGUGCGUGCAAGGUGGUUUAAUCCAUCGCCUACCACCUUACACGAUGAAAGAAAUAAGGCACGAUUUACUCACCAAUGCAAUCGGAUCCCAUUGUUUAUUCAAACGAAGUUGGACGGCUACAUUAAUAAGAUCAUCCCAAGUCUCGUGAGUGACAGGAAGAGUAUCAAGAGCAGCCCAAACAUUAUUCGGAUCCACUUCUUUCCGCACAAAGUUCAGAAUCUGAUGAGCAACAGGACUUAGCACUGGGAAAAUUCCAUCAACAAAUCCAGAUCCAUAUUUCCAUCCUUGUCCCCUCAAAGAGCCACCUGGGUAUAAAAGAUGACUUAAUAAUUAAAGCCAUAUUUGCUUGAGCAGUUAUAUGUAUGAGCACAAAGUGAAUUACUCCGUAUUACAUCGUUUCCUGGACAUCUUUUUGUGAUCAAAGAUUCGCCAUUUGCCAUGUUUGUCGAUAUAGACCCUGUCGCUUUUCCACUUUUUAACAUCUCCACUACUGGAAUUCUUUUCUCGGCGUCUGAAAUGACCAUUCCGGAUUCUUGAUUCUAUAAAAAUAUGAUUCAGUGUGCAUCUAACAAGCAACCUGCAAACACUAAUCAAGUAAACACACAAUUGCCAGCAACAAAAUACACACCUCUUAAUUUAAAGCCAUUACACGGAGGAAGCAACCAAAUAAAAUCCAUAUAAAGGAUGCUUUAGACUUCAAAAUAAUUGGACAAAGAGAGACACUAAAACUACUUUUAAUCACAAUAGCAAACACUUGAAAUGCAAACCAGAAAACCUAGUUAAAAAAGAAGAAGAAAAGUAGUCAACUUUUCCUUUGUAAACCAAAUAUCUUUUCCCUUUCUUCCGCAGUAAUUCUUAACUGCUGUGAGUAUACGUUUUUUUUUCAUUACAGAAUCAAAUAUUAGUCUAAUCUAUCAGAUUAAACUACAAAAAUCAAAAUUUGCAAGAUAAACAAGGCCACAACUGUUGAAGACUGGUUAGAGUUCAACAACGAUAAGCAUAGCACUCUGACAGCUAAAACUGGUCCAUCAUCUUAUAACUUCUGAAGUCACAGUAAGACUUUUUAGAUAAUGAUGAUUGCUCGUUCAAUAUAUAUGAGAGCCAACAAAAUGCUAAAAUGUUUUAACUAAUAAGAACACAAAACAAUUUAGACAUACUCUCUCAAGUGAACGUUGAUACUUAGCAAUUCCAUUGAAACCCAUUUCCCAGAACAAUAAAUUCCAUGAAAAAGCAAUAUUAUCCAGCAAGAGGAGAAACACCAGAAUUGAAGUUAAUAAAUACAGAAAAUAACAAGGCAGCAUGAACAGCAUUAGCAGUGGCAUUGCAUAAGGAAAGAGAGGAAGGAAGGAUACGACUUACAUGAAAGCAUAAAAGAGGAGUUUGGAGUUGGGUAUCUGUAAACAUCCAGUAGGCAAGAAGAUAUGUGAAGAGUGUUUCUUGGAUAAUGGACUACAUGGAUGAAGACCAGCACUGCCAGACAAAAGUAGCUUCUGUUUUUUUCUGUUUACUAAGGGACAAAAGCCUCAAAAUAUCUCUAACGAACUUAAGGCGUCAAACAAUAGCGUUAUUGUAGCCUCGUGGUGUCUGAGGUUGCAUGGGAUUCUAUAUUGAGACAGUAGCUGAUAGCUAGAAUAAUCAAUUCUAAAAAAGUUUAUUUUUAAUAAUAAAAAAAGAAGAAGAUCAAAGGUUAAUUUGUUUAAACACAAUGGACAAAUUAUUGUCAUUAUUAUUAGUAUAAUUUAACAGCAGAUACUCCAGCAUGACACUUGUUGCAAAGACGAAGCUAUGAAGUGCCAAUUGAGUUGCAAUUCGACUCUACUAGCAGAAGUUUCCAUGCUAAAAAAGCGAAAACUGCUGUUAAAAUGGGUUAAAAGGCUUAUUGAGGUUGGGGUGAUUUUUUUAUUUUUUAAAAAAAUUAAUUCGCUUUUAUAUUUUCAGAGUUAAUAUUAAUUUUUUAAAAUAAUAAUAAAAAUAUCAUUUUAAUAUAAUUCCAAGCAAAAACAUAUUUCAAGGGCGAAACUUCCAUUCUCUUAAUAUAAACAGGGUUACGUCAUGCAUUUCCAUUUUUACAACAGUAGUUUUGGCUGCAAUUAGAUGGGGCAAAAUAAGCUAUAACUUUUGUGUGACUUGGAUCAAAUUGAAGAAAUAGAGUGUAAACUGAAAAAUUGAGGCAAGUACAAGGACCCAAAAAUAAAGUAAGCAUUUUAAUUCGAUAUCCAUAUUCCACGGUCCCUCUCUUUCCUUCUUCGGAGCUCCAUUGGAAUUAAAUGAGAACGGCCAUAUUACAGGUCAAGCAUUGAGAGGAGAUAAAUAUAAUUGAAAAGACCAAUUUUCUGCACUCUGUCAAACGUAUCAUAUAGGAAAUCAUAUUGAUGCAAAACUUUAGAAGCCAUCUAAGAUUGGAGAGAAGUUUUGUAACAUUUCCACAUCACAGUUCUACAAACAUGGAAUUAAUGGAAACUUCGGCUAAAAGCAACUGAUUCAAGCAAAUUCCAGAGGAAAGUAACACAAGUAUCUCGAUUGGUGUCAAUACUGGCAAGAACUCCACUUUAGCCAAAAAAUACAAUGUCUAUUCCACUUCAGCCAAAUAAUCAUCAAUUUCGGCUGGAGUUAGUACCCUGCAGUAAAGAAAGCACAAGGGAUAAGUUUGCCAUGGUCAUGCCACACAUAAAUUCUUCCAAGGAAGCUUAAACAUCCAAAGAAAUAGUGGAUUGGCCAUUUUGAACACGAGAUCCAUAUGUAAAUUGUCAGACUGAAACUAGAGCAAGGGUGCGUGAAAAUCAGAACUUCAAAACUGAAACCACAAGUGGAAGGCCAUAUAUGAAAUUGGUGAGAUCCAAAAGAUUUUAGAUAUCAGAUUUUAUCUAGUUAUGAACUGUGUUAACAAAAAUGUGCAUCCUGCAAGUUACUUCUGGAACUCAUCCUAAGCUUGAAAUUACGUGACACUAUUACCAAGUUUAACAAGGAAAAAGGGUACAAUUUCAAUGUUUUUCAAAGAGCAUGCCUGAAUUGACAUGCAAAGACACCUGGUACAGCUGUGGACCUUUGUCAUCAAAACCAGCGAUUAGUAAAGAUACUCCAAAAGGCCUUACACCUCUGCGAGGAAAAACAAAGGAUGAGUAUUUUCAAACUUCAAGAAUAAGAGCAUGAAGAGUUGACAUGCUGAUGCAGGAACAUAGGGAGAGAGUUGUUGGCCUAUUAGAAUAAGGACUAAGGUUAUGAACUUUGGAAAUUAAAAUUCAGAUCUAAAUUACAAAGGAAAUCAACUAAAACCACUGAAACACUUUGAAUGUAUAAAAGAUGUUCCAGUACCCAGAUUGAGUAAACUCUUGCAUGACAGCAGCAGUUUCCCUCACAAGUUGUGUGACAGGAAUUGGUUCCUACAAUCAUAAAAAUUCACAAGUUACAACCUUCCCGAUUAACAACAAAAGAUGACAAUGAAUUGAUAUAAAAUAGUAAUUGGAUAUUUAACUCUUGGAUUUCAAGCAAAAUUAAGCUGUUUUGGGGGUCAGAAUGGCAUUGUUGGGAAUAAGACAACUAAUAAGAAGUCUUGUAAUAUAGACAACCUCAAUACCUGCUUUCCACUUUGGACCUUAGCACGAAUAUCUAAAGGAAAUGUAAUUACCCCGACGCCUCCCCAGGCGGGUGAUAUCUUAUCUUAACCAGGUUAUCAAGCAUUAGACGAAUUAUAUACAUGAGUUUGUUUAGAGGCAUCAAAAGGAUGCACAUAUCCCAUUCAUAAGAUAAGCCAAGAAAAUUUAGCAACCUUAUCACUUAUCAAUGACAUGAAAAGAAAAGCUGAAGAACAAACGUGAAGCAAAAUAAUAAAGAAAAUCUUGAAGAUACCACCUUGUACAGUCUAUGAUAUUGCUCUGCUUGCUUCCUACUUUUCCGAACCAAAACUAGAAAGUCAGGACCCAUUCCACUGCAACAAAAUACAUGUGAUUCAGCACUGUUAAGAAAAAAGUACAGCAAAGCAACCCAUUUUGACAUAGGUAAUAAGUUGCACAAGUUAGUAAGAAGUGGCUCAUUGAGCAACCAAAUUGCCAAGAUGUCUUAUUUCAAACCCAAGUACAGAGGAACUACAUAUUUGUCCCCCUCUUUUUUUCAGUUGAAACAGAAACAGGGUACAUGUACAACGUGUUAAAGUCACGUCCAUAACCAGACCAAUUAAGAACAUUGACCUACAAGGAGUUCCACUGAAGUUCAGAUUAUAACAACAGGCAUGCUUCUAUCUCAAUUUACCACCCCGGGUCAAAUUUCACACUUAUCAGGACACUAUAACAACAGCAGAAACUAUACAAUUUCCCACCAAACAUAAAGAGAGCUUUGAAUCUACACACCCGCCUGCUACAAUCAUUCAUGACAGAUAUUUUAGCAAUAAUUAAGGCCAGAGAAACACAAGCUAAAAAAAUGGAACUUCCUAAUUACUGAGAAGCAGGCAGAAACAAACCUGUAGACAACUCCAAUAUUGGGUGUCAGAUUCUGUAUUUUCUGAACCUGAAACAAGAAGCAAUUAAAUACCAUCAACAACCAACUCAAGUUACAUCCCAUCUUGCAAAUUAGAAUAAUAGACCAAUAAACUGGCUUCAAAAUCAAACCAUCUCCACCUCAGUCAACACGAUUUAAAAUAACCAACACUGCCUUUUUAUACAAUGUGGGAUUAAAGAGGAUAUAAAUCUACACACUCCAACAUUCAAAGCCCCAAUCUUAGAGUCAUUGACUAGUAUAGUAACGCCUCAUUGGCAGGAACCCAAAUCACUAAGCUCAAAUUACUAAUAAAAAUUACAAAUUUACACCGAAUUUGAACAGAUUUCUACCAACCGAUGUCACUAAAGAAAACACAAAAAAAAAAAAACGCAAAAAACCAAAAGGGCUUCUUGAAUUUAAACCAAAGAAUAUAACAAAACCAAUAAAAAAAAUAAUAAAUGUUUACUUACAGAAGAUUCAUCGACUAAAAUAGAUGGCAAUUUCUUCUCAGUUGCAAUAACAACACCGUUUGCCGCUACAACACCAAAAAAAUAAUAAAAUCAACAACAUAAUAUCUAAGCACUCAUCAACAACGUAGUGCAUUCGAAAAUGACAAGAAAAUGAGAGAAAAAAAGAGAGAGAGGGAGCUUAAAUUGCAACAACCUUUGAUUCCGAGAGAAGUUUGGCCUGAUCCAACGGCAGUCAAUGCGUGCUCAAUCUGUACUAGCUUUCCGGUAGGACUGAAAGUAGUGAGAGAAAAGGAGUACUGGCUAUCACCCAUGGUUUAUUGCUUGAAGACGCAGAGAGGAAAAACUGAGAAUGCGAGUGUGUGGGAGAGAAAGACAGGGAUAUUUACUUGGGGUUUUAAGUUUUAACUUUGCUUUUCUCGUUGGAGAAGAAGGUGUUUUCUUACGAGGGCUUUCACAAGGGAGUAUUAUGGGCUUUUAUGACGGCAGGUUGGUCCUCUUUACAUUGAGCUCAAUGAAGGCUCGGAACCAGUUUUGUUUUUAAGUAUUAUUAACAAAUUUUUAUUUAUUUAUUAAUAUAAAUAAUUUUUAAUUUAUUUAAUUACAUUUAUAUAUAUAAUUUUUAAUUUAUUAUAUUUUUUGAACUAGAAAAAUAUAUUUAAAGAACUGCAUAUAUAAAUUUUUAUAAAAAAUAAAAAUAUUUGACUCAUAAUAAAUCAUUCAUAUUUUUAUAAAAAAAUAAAGAUGGGUAAACUCUUAAUUAGGCCUUGCUGCUGAAUUUUGUUGUUGAUUUGUAAUUUAAUUAUUGUUUAAGAUUUUUUGUGUUAGAUUUGGAUAACUUUAUUUGGAUUUAAUCUCCAAAAUUGAUGGGUAUCAUCACUUAUAGAUGAAUGGUUUAGCUUCUCUCAUUUAUUUGGAUUUAAUCCACUGAAACUGAGGUUAAGAAUUUCUUGGAUUUAAUCCACUGAAACAGUUGCUUGAUCAAGAUCAUUGGCUUGUUUGAAGGCAGAUAAAGGCUUAAAAAAAAGGCGAGAGGGAGCGAGAAAGAGAGGAUGUGAGAAAUAAUUAUAGUUGAAACAAAUGAAUUACAUAUCAUUUUAUGUUGAGGAGAGAGAGAGAGGAUGUGAGAAAUAAUUAUAUCAUCUUAGAUUACAAAUCAUUUUGAGAAAAUCUAAAAGAAAAUAUCAUCUUAGAUUAAUUAUAGAUAUGAGUUGCAGUAGUUGAAAUUUCAAAGGCAAUUUUUUUAGAGUAGCAUUUGGAGAAUUUAAGUAAGGAAUAAGCUUCACGUGAGCGAGAUAAUAUCACAGCUGCAUUUGAUAGAGUAAAUGGUAAGUAGGAACUAAAAUCGAAUUACAGUAAAGAGGUCACAUAGAGUAAAUGGUAAGAAUUAACACCAAAGCAAAUAAUUAAUACCCUCAAAAAAGUUCUGCCUUUCUCACCUAAUCAUAAAAAUCAAUGUUUGGGAUGUGAGAAAUCUUUUGCCAAUCUUCACCCAUCUCCUCCUUCCCGUAACGUUCCCUUAGAAUGGGGCACCAUCUUAUCUCCAAUUCCUGUAGAGGCGCUGCCAAAACAUAGUCUGGUAGUGCUCUCAACAACGGGCAAUUAACAAUCAUCAACUCUCGAAGUUGUGGCAUAAUGGAUAUUAUUGAAGUUGUGUUGGCAUCUUCUUCUCCCAAGGAUCUCCUUUCAAUUCCAUCCCACUCCUCUACUUCUGUGAGACCCUCCAUCGCAAGUUUUUUUAAUUUGGGGAAAGCAGUGACCCUUGCAAUUUCUCCUUCAUUAAUACUGGCAUUCUCAUCUUUUUCUAUACCUAAAAAUCCAGCAUCCAGCCUUCUCACCUUCAUCAAAAUCAAUACCAGGCUUUCAAGGUUGGGCAAUCUACCCAACGGAGGCAAGACCUCCAGGUUUUCACAAUAACGGAGUGUAAGCACCUGUAAUCUGGUUAAUGCCAUCAUCCAAUUUGGCAAAUCCAACCCUCCGUACCCAUAUAUGGUUAGAUUUUCCAAGUCUGACGGAGGCCGUAAAGCUUCAAAUAAAAUGCCGUCCUCCAGGUUGUGGUCGAAAACCAAUUCCAAACGAAGCAGGCGCUUCUUAUUCUUGAGUUGUGCUUCUGCAGCGUCCCUCGCAUCUUCUUUACCUCCUCCUAGAUUCCCUAUCUGAAGACUCCCUCCAAUGUGAUUUAAGUUUUUUAAUUCUCUUAGAUUAGCUGCUUUACUUUCAUUCUCACCACCACCACACACAAAAAACUGGUCUAAUGUUCGAAGACAUGUUAUCCUCUCUAUUCCCUUUGGUAUGAAGGCCACACCUGAACCAUAAAUCCGGAGAUGCCUCAAUUUGAUAAGUUUUCCAAUCGCCCGAGGUAAUUCGUUGAGAUAACAACACUGAGUAACGUCUAGGGAUUGCAGAUUGCAUAAAUCACAAAUGGUUUCUGGCAGGGACUCCAACAUUCCACAAAAUGCCAAAUUGAGGUGUCUCAAAUGUAUCAAUUUCCCUACCUGAUUUGGUAUUUCUCUGAUAGAAGACUCUGACAAAUUCAAUGACCUGAUGCAUGUCAACUGCUUGAAUAAAUCAGGUAGUGCAGCUCCAAGCGAAGAGUCUCCAGUGUGGAUCAAGAGGCUGCGAAGACCUUUUGCUUUGUGAAUGGACUUGGGAAAAGAGGUCACCGCUAAAUGACGAACCCUUUCAAUUGAAGUCUUCACUGUUAGACAUUCAUUUUUUGUCAUAUAUUGGGCAAAAUCAUGCACUAUAUCAUGCAUCUUGAAUCUCAUUCCUUCACGAUCACUCUUCUCAAAAUCUUGGAAGAAAGAGCGCGUUGCUAAGACUUGAAAGUACUGCUCUCCUACAAGCUCCAUAUCUCCACCUGAAGUCUCCUUGAGGUAACCUUGAGCCAUCCACAUCUUCACCAAUUCAUCUUUGUCCAUCUCGUAGUCUUUUGGAAACAUGGCACAAUACAAGAAACAUCGUCUUACCACAGAAGGUAAAUCGUAGUAACUCAAAAGCAAAGGUGGAAAUAGUCCUCUUUCAACAUGUUCUAGCUCCCACAGUUCGCUAGAUAAAACAUGUUCCCACUCUUCUCUUGUUCUUUUAGACUGCAUUAGACCUCCUAAUACCUUGGCAGCUAGAGGCAAGCCCUUGCACUUGCUUGCAAUUUUGUCGCCGAUUUCUGUCAAUCUUUCGCACUCAUCUUUGCUUCUUUUAUGGAAUGCCACCUGAUUGAAUAUUGACCUGCAUACCUCAUCAGACAAUUUCUCAAGGUUGAUCACGUGGUCAGUUCCUAUCAUGGUUGCCACAGAAUGUUUACGACUGGUCACUAGAAUUCUGCUUCCUGUUGCACCGCCUUUGAGAGAUAGUUUCAGUGGUUCCCAUUGUCUAUGAUUUUCUGUCCAGACAUCAUCUAGGACAAGAAGGAACCUCUUUCCCUUAAUUGAUUCAGAAACACUUUGCAAAAGGGAUUCCAAUUCAACUAAAUUCGGUGCACCCCCUUGAAGCGCCUCAAGGAUAGCUUUUGAUAUCCUAACCUCAUCGAAUGGAUCUGAUACACACACCCAUAUCUUUUUCUCAAAAUGAGCCGUAACCCGAGCAUCAUUAAAAGCUAGUUGGGCGAGAGUUGUCUUUCCAAUCCCGCCCAUUCCUACUAUAGAGAUCUCCACGUCCCCUGCUUCCUGAAUACUUUCGCCCAGCAACUUGCUUACUACAGCUUCCCUUUCAUCAUCUCGACCACGCACGAUUGAUUCAUCAACAAGGGAGGUACUUGUUAUUCGUUGUAGUUCAUCAGUGGCUCUGUACAACUCAAAGCCAAACAUAGCUCUCUCUUUGGUAAUCUCAUCCACUUUUUCACAUACUUCUUUGAUCUUGAGGGCAAUGUCGCGACGUCGAGCCACUUGAUUGAAACAAAAGCAAGGAGAUCCCAGGAAGGAACAUCGCAUCUUCUGUAGGCUGCGAGUAUUUUCUUCAACUUCCUCCAUUUUCCAUCUAAGAAUUGCAGUGCUCCAUUCAUCUAGCACGUCAUCCAUAUCAUAGCAUACAUCUUUGAGCUUGUCUGCCCAAUCCCUUACAGCCUUAUCCUUCACUUGUUUUCUAUCUGCAUCUUCAAGGACAGAUUGGAUAGCAAGGAGAUUGCUUUUCAGCUUGUCGACUUGUUUCUGCACACCCCCUACUAGGUUCACUUCUUCCUGUACCUAUUGGUGUAGAAAAGACCAGAAAGUUCAAGCAGAGGAAACAGUUCUAUGAUUUCACUACAAGUUUUUAAUUUUAAUUUUUGGGAAUUAAUAGAUUAAAUAAUUUUUAUUAAUCUUUUUUCCGCAUAGUUCACACGUACAGUGAAUUGGAUUGGCUAUAUUAUAAAUUCAUAUAUAAAAUAUUUAUUAAGAACCUAUAUAUUAAAAAUAAUAAUAUUUCUUUUUAUCAUCAUCAUGAUGAUAUCUCUGUCUGCACUCUGCUACUAUACAAGAAAGGAAAAAAAUGAAUCUUAAAUUGUUCGACGUCAAACCUGUAUAUAACAUAAGCUUGGCGGAUCAAAGAAAUAUAAAAGGAAUAAAAGGAAAGUGAAUAAAAGGAUCUGUAUUUGUUGUUAUUUGUAAAGUCUAUAAUAAGAUUAUGGAAGAAAAAAAAGACUUAAAUUUUUAUAUUUCUUAUCAUGUUACGGUUAAUUCGAUCAUUGCAAAUUGUAUAAAAGUAAUUACCUGUUGAGCAACGACCGUGGUUAACUGCUCCAAAAUUGGCGAUAAAAGUGCCUCUGCCAUUUGUCUUUUUGGUUUAAUUUUAUUUUUAAAAAAGAGAUAAUUAUGAUGAUGAACUGAGAGAGAGAGAGAAGAGUGUGAGGGGAAGGAGGCUGCUGGUUGUGAAAUGAAGAGAGAGGGUUAGUUUAUGUACUUGGGGUUUGGUGAUGAGGGUUGACUAUUGUUUCCAUCCCUGUACUGUUUCUAACAUUUCAAUUCAGUCCCUGUAUUAUUGAACGUUUCAGUCUAGUCUCGGUCAGGGGUUUCCAUCUGCGGAUGGCUUUUCCUGAUUGUAUGUUUCUACUGAGAAUGACAUGCCAUUUUGAGUUCCAAAGGUGAAACACUCGUGCUUUUCUAACUUUUCCUGGCUAAGGAUUAUUAUUUGUGGAAAGUAAUUUCUUCUUCGAUUUAUAGCAAUUAUUUUGGAUUGAUACUGACCUUAGGUUAAGAAUGCUGUAGUUUCUACUGAAAUGUAUCUGAUACAGACCUUAGGGACAACUGAUUAUAGCAUUCUUCUCGUCUGCUUCUCUAUUUCUUCUCUUCAUUUUAUGUUAUUCCACUAGUCUUCCAAACUGGAUCACGGUGAUAUAUAUCUGUCCAUCCAAACUAAUUUACCCAAACCAAAAGUAGUAACCAAUUAGCUCGUGUAAUGGAACUAUAAACAAGCAUCUAUCUUUCUGGGUUUUUGAGAUCAGGUGAUUUUAUCCUGUUUUCAUAGCAGGGACUGGGGUUUGAUAUUGAUCUUUGAUUUUACCCAAACCAAAAGUUUGAAAGGAUUGCUGGUUUGUGUGAUUGGAGCUCCUUUCAAUGGGUGUGAAAAGGCCAAGAAAUGAGCAAGAUUUUCUGGAGGAAAGGAUUCAUAUUGUCUGGACUCAAUCACCUUCCUUUCUUCUUCUUCUUCUUUCUGCAGGAAAAAAGUAGAGCAGAGCAACCCUUUUUGACAGAGGCUAGUAAGUUGCAGAAGUUAGUAAGAAGUGGAUCAUUGAGCAACCAAAUAGCCAAGAUGUCUUAUUUCAAACCCAAGUACAGAUGAAUGCCGUAUUUUUAUUUUUCUAAGGAACUGCAUAUUUGUCCCCCCACUUCUUCUUUUUCUGUUGAAACAGCGACAGGGUACGUGUACUCUAGAAAAUAUUUAGAAUGGAAACAAAUAGAAAGUAGCUUAAAAUUGUGAAAAUAUUGUUUUUAAAUUGUUUAUUUCAAACCUAAUUAAUAAUAUGUUUUUGUUUUAGAUAGUUUUUGUGAUUCUGAUUUGAAAAAAAAUAAGUUUUAAAAAAGUACAGCUAGCUGUGAUUAAUUGAAUUUAAAUACGUGUUUAAUAAAAAUUAUGGUUAAAGUUUAUGUAUAAUAAAAAAUAUGUAUAAAAUAUUUGAUAGUUAUGUUUGAGACUGUGGUUGUGAUUGUUUUUUAAAGUGUUUUUUACAUUAAAAUAAUAUUUUUUUAUUUUAAAAAAAUUAUUUUUGAUAUCAGUGCAUCAAAAUGAUCUGAAAACACCAAAAAAAUAUAUUAAUUUGAAAUAAAAAAAAAUUGUUUUUUACCAGUAAAUCAAAGUGUUUUUUACCUCAUUUUUCCUUGAUUAAUUCUAACUACGAAACAGCUACUGCACCAACAAGAUGGAAAAGGCUCACCAAGAUGUUCUCUUUGAAAAGAUUCUCAAUGAGUCGUUGACAUCUCAUACUUGUCUAAAAAUUUUAAUCUUUUUUUGGAAAAGAUUCUCAGUGAGUCUGUCUCCUGGCUUAUUGAUCAACACUUUUAUCAUAUUGUGAACAAACAUGUCAAUUUCCAGAAUUUUAUUGAGUAGGAUGACUGUAUAGAAUUACUCUGAUUUAUCAACACAUAUCAAAUUCUUGCUGCUGCUGAGGAAGAUAUCCUGCACUUAGCCAUCAUAGAGGGUAGCAAGGUUUUGUGUUGAUGGUAAUUACACUGACUCAUCGUCUAUCAUCUAGAAUUCAAUUUUAAAAAAUAUUGCAAGAAAUGUUUUUUUUCCUAAAUACAUCGAUCGGGUGUGGAUAGAUUGAUUACAAAGCGACUUCCUAAAAAGUCUUGGUCUUAAUAUGCAAAGAUGAUCCAAGUAUGCCAUAUAUUAUUUUUUUAAAAUAAAACCCACAUAUCUAGUCCACGCAAAGGUACUCGAAUAUGGAUUUGUAAAAAUAAAAAUGAAUAUUUAUACGAAAUUGAAUUGUGCAAAUAAAACCCACAGAUCUAGUCCAUGAUCUACGGCUCCUCCAGAGUUCCGUAGUGGUGUCUUUCUCAACUAUUCUUUAAAUAAAAUGUUUGGGAUGUGAGAAAUCUUGUGCCUAUCUUCACCCCUCUCCUCCUUCCCGUAACGUUUCCUUAGAGAAUUUAUGUAGAGGCGCUGUCAAAACAUAGGCCGGUAGUGCUCUCAACAAUGGGCAUUUGAGAAUUCUAAACUCACAAGUUGUGGCAUGAUGAAUAUUGAAGUCGUGGUGGAAUCUUCUUCUCCCACUCUCCUUUCAAUCCCAUCCCACUCUUCUAGUUCUUUGAGAUGCCAAAUGCUGAGUUUUUUCAAUUUAGGGAAAGGAGAGUGGUAGUUUUUUCAAUUGGGGCAAUACUCUUCCAAUUCUCUUUCACUAAUAUUUAUUGGUGGAAAAAAUCACUGAUAGUAGUUUUAAAACACUCAAAGAAAAUAAAACAUAUUGUUUUAUUUCAACAACAAGAAGCUUACAAUAAUUAAACAAAAGCUUUUAAUACACACCCUCUUUUUCUCUCUAGUGUUCAUCUCUUAUCUUUCCCACACACAAUUACAUAAACUUACCUAUCUAUUUAUACACAAAUUAAAAGUAAAAAAAAAAAAAUCAAACUUCAAGUGUGAAGGCGGCUGGUGGCUAAACAGUGGGGUCCUUUUGUAUUUUGUCAAAAGAGAUGAAAUUAUAAUCAAUGAUGAUGAUAUAUAUAUAUAUAUAUAUAUAUAUAUAUAUAUAUAUAUAUAAACUACUAUGUGCAUUCUAUAAUUUAGUUAUAUAAUACAAUAGAUCUUUACAAUUAGUGAUUUCAACUUACCAAUAGAGAAAUUAUAGUAGAUCUUUACUAUGAUAUAUUCAAAAUAAAUAAAUAAAACAGGUAUACUUCAACACGCAUAUUAUACAUACACUUCUUUUUUAAAAAUUAAUCAUAAAAAAUUGAUUAGUUAUUUAUUAUAAAAAUCAGACCUGUAAGUUAUAUCUAAAUCAUUGAAAAUAGUAAAGGUAAACUAAUUAGAAGAGACAAUGUAUUUCAAAUUAGUUAAUUUAUAUAGAAUUAUUUUAGUUACUAAAUUAAAAAAUUCAAAUUUUUAUAUCACUUGGAAUACAUAAGGUGGAUUUAAUCCACAAAAUCGAUGGGUGAUAACCUCUAAGAUAUCGAUGGGUACAUAUAUGGUGGAUUUAAUCCACAAAAUCAAUAAGAGACCAAUCGGCUAGCUCCAAAAUCAAACCAUCUCCACCUCAUUCAAACACGAUUUAAAAUAAUCAACACCACCUUUUUAUACAAUGUGGGAUUAAUGAGGAUAUAAAUCCAAGGCUCCAACAUCCAAAGUCUCAAUCUUAGAUUUAUUAGCUAGUAUAGCAACGCCUCAUUGGCAAGAACCCAAAUCACUAAGCUCAAAUUACUAAUAAAAAUUAUAAAUUUUCAGAUAAUAUUUUUAAUAUUUAAUCUUUCUAGCAAUUGAUGAUAGCAAUUGCAAAUGAAUAGAGGAGGAAGCAUCGAGAUCAUUGGCUUGUUUGAAGGCAAAUGGACCCUUUGAUCGUUAGAUGAUGCAUCUAAAUGAGGCUCCACAUUAUAAAAGCGUAAUUAGGUGGCACGCGCUAUCCCACAAACUCACCUUAGAUUUUCAAAAUAAAAUUAGAUGGAGGAUCCAUGUCUAUUUGGGUCCUCCCUAGACAGGACCCCAACAUAUUCGGGUCCAGUAACGACCAGGUCCAAGUCUAGCGUUGGGCUAGGUUGGGUAGGACCCAAGGUUAUUUGGGUGUACCUGGCAGAAUCCAAGAUUGUUUUUGAGUCCUGCAACUAAUAAUUAUAUGUAAUUUCUAAAUGAAACUAAAUGUAAAAUUAAAUAUAAUUUGAUAAAAUUAUUAUAAACAUUUGGUAAAAUUAGUAAAUGAUAUAACAUUUUCUUUCAAAUUCAUCAAUUAUUUAAAUAUUAAGUACAAAAAAUACUCUUAUGAAUUUUGAUAAAAAUAAUAAUAUUUAUAAUACAACUGAUAACAUUUUUAGUAUUAAAUUAUUAAUUAAUAUAAAUAAUAUUAUUUAUAACACCAAAAAUAAUAAUAUUUUUGAGAUUAAUACUAUUAAUUAGACUAAAAAAUAAUAUUAAUAAAACAAAUAAUAAUAUUUCUAAUACUAAUACUAUUAAUUAUACUAAAAAUAUAUAUUAAUAAAAAUAUAAAAUACUCUUAAUAUUAAUUAUACUAAAAAAAUAUUAAUAAAACAAAUAAAUAUUUUAAUACUAACUUGUAAUUAUACUAAAAAUAUGGGCAGCCCAAGCGCUAAGUGAUGCUUGGACUACACUCAAGAGAAAUCAUAUUAUUUUAAAAUAUUUGUCCACUAAUUGCUAUUGAAUUUAAAAUAAAUAUACUUUUAAAACUAAUAUAAAGUUACCAAUAGUCGAUUUGAUAGCUGCUUGCAUAAAAUCUCAUUGAAUUUGGCCAAUGGUUUUUUAGAAUAAAGUAAAAAAAAAGUUAUUUCAAAACAUAACCAAAGUAGUUUUAGUUAUUUGUCAGAAACUAGUAUAUCCCAUAAAAAUCAGAGUUUUGGAUGAAAUAAAAUCAAUUCUAAAAUCAAACGCCGAUUGAAGCUUCAACGCAUUUGUGAACUAGAGAAUUUAAUUAUUAAACUCGUUUGUUUCGCGUUCAAAAAUAUUUUAAAAUUAUUUUAUUUUUUAUUUAUUUUUUUGUUUUUUAAAUUAAUAAUUUUUUUAGUAUAUUUAGAUCAUUUUAAUGUGUUUAUAUAAAAAAUAAUUUAUAAAAAAUAAAAAAAAUUAUUAUUUUAAUAUAUUUCUAAUAAAAAAUACUUUGAAAAAUAAUUAUAAUAAUACUGUCACACAUGCUGUUUAAUGUUUGUUCAAAAAUUGUGCUUUUUAAAAUAUGCAUUCUAACGCAAAGAAAGCAUAUAAAACACAUCAAAGUUGCAAAAGUACGUAGUUUUAAUUAUUAGCAAAAGUAUUCUAAAAUAUGAAAAGAUAGGUUUAAAUACCCUAAAUAUCCGUAAAUAACUAGAAAAAAAUUAAUAAAACUAAAAUCCAAAAUUAUCAAGGCAAAAAUCUAAAAUAUGGUCUGAAACUUCAAAGGCAAUUUUUUUAGAGUGGCAUUUGGAGAAUUUAAGUAAGGAAAAAGCUUCACGUGAGCGAGAUAAUAUCAUCUUAGAUUAAUUCUUUAACAUGUAAAAUUUAAGUCUAAUUCAAUAAUUAAAUAAAAAAUUACCUCUUCCUGCCGGUCUUAACUAUUCUUUAAAUAUAAACAUAUGAAUUACAUAUUAUUUUAUAUAUGUUGAGAGAGAGAGAGAGAGAGAGAGAGGAUGUAUACUAUAUAUAUCACAGCUGCCUUUGAUAGAAUAAAUGGUAAGUAGGAAAUACAAUCCAAAGUCAACAUUAUACAGUAAAGAGGUAUAUGAAACAUACCUCGUCCUGCCUGUCCUACAGAUUAUGGUAAGUCGGAAAUCGAAUUACAGUAAAGAGGUCACAUAGAGUAAAUAGUAAGGCUUACAUAUUAUUUACACUCAACCUUAGCAAACACCAAAGCAAAUAAUUAAUACACUCAGAACCAAAUCUUUUACCGUUAAGAAUUAACACUGGUGGAAGAAUUUAUCAUCAAAAUAAAUGUUUGGGAUGUGAGAAAUCUUUUGCCAAUCUUCACCCAUCUCCACCUCCUUCCCGUAACGUUAGAUUGGGGCAACCAUAUGCGUAGAUCCUGUAUAGGCGCUGCCAAAACAUAGUCUGGUAGUGCUCUCAACAACGGGCACCAACGAAUUGUCAACUGUCGAAGUUGUGGCAUAAUGGAUAUUAUUGAAGUUGUGUUGGCAUCUUCUUCUCCCACUCUCCUUUGAAUUCCAUCCCACUCUUCUACUUCUUCGAGAUCCCAAAUCUCAAGUUUUUUAAUUUGGGGAAAGCAGUGACCCUUGCAAUUUCUCCUUCCUUAAUACUGGCAUUCUCAUCUUUUUCUAUACCUAAAAAUCCACCAUCCAGCCUUCUCACCUUCAAAAGUACCAGGUGUUCAAGGUUGGGCAAUCUUCCCAACGGAGGCAAGAACUCCACGUUUUCACAAUAACGGAGUGUCAGCACCUGUAAUCUGGUCAAUGUCAUCAUCCAAUUUGGCAAUUCCAACCCUCCGUAACAAUAUAUGCUUAGAUCUUCCAAGUCUGACGGAGGCUGCAAAGCUUCAAUUAAAGAGCCUUCAUGCUCUGGCAACACUGUUUUCUCUCCGAAGAAAUUCAAUACCAAACGAAACAGGCGCUUCUUAUUCUUGAGUUGUGCUUCUGCAGCGUCACUCGCAUCUUCUUUACCUCCUCCUAGAUUCCGUAUCUGAAGACUCCCUCCAAUGUGAUUUAAGUUUUUUAAUUCUCUUAGAUUAGCUGCUUUACUUUCAUUCUCACCACCACCACACACAGUAAACACAUCUAAUGUACCAACAGGUGUGUGGCUCAAGUGGUGAAGGGGGCAGCUCUCCUUUCAUCGAACCCAGGUUCGAAUCCCAGUGGGAGUGGGGCUGGAGAGUUUGCUCUCUUCCUAUUUCUCUUGGGUCCUCCCUGUGCGGUAUCCCUGUCACCCCCGCGGUGUCUUACCUGCUCACUAGGGCUUGCAGGAUGUUCAGUGGGCCGUGGGAUUAGUCGUGGUGCGCGUAAGCUGGCCCGGACACCCACGUUAUCAAAAAAAAAAAAAAAAAAAAAAAAACACAUCUAAUGUUUAGUUAUAUAAUUGAUCAUCGUGGCUACAAAAUGAAGUGGAACUAAUAAUUAAUGGAGUGGAAUACUAAAUAAAAUGAAUUGCUAUGUGUAUUCUAUAAUUUAGUUAUAUAAUAUAGGCAGAUAUGUACAAAUUAGUCAUUUCAACUUAUCAAUAAAGAAAUUAUAAUAGAUUUUCACCGUGGUAUGAUCGCAAUAAAUAAAAUAAAAUAGAUAUAUCUCACAGCAUUAAUAAUUUUUUAGUUUUUGUUAAACAAUGUCAACAUAUAUAUAUAUAUUAUACAUACACUCAUUUCUUUAAAAAUAAUUAUAAUAAAAUUAAUUAGUUAUUUAUUAUAAAAACCUGACCUAUGAGUUAUGUCUAAGCUGUUAAAAAUAGUAAAAAUAAAAUAAUUUGAAAAUAGAAUUAUUAAUUAAUUUAUAUCAAGUUGUUUUAUUUAUUAAAUUAAAAAAUCCAAGUUUUAUAUCACCUAGAUUACUUAUGUUGGAUUUAAUCCAUAAAAUUGAUGGGUAUCAUCUCUUAUAUAUGAAUCGAUGGGUAUCAAGUUACAUGCCAUCUUGCAAAUUAGAAUAAUAGACCACUCGACUGGCUCCAAAAUCAAACCAUCUCCACCUCAUUCAACACGAUUUAAAAUAAUCAACACCACCUUUUUAUACAAUGUGGGAUUGAUGAGGAUAUAAAUCUACAGACUCCAACAUCCAAAGUCUCAAUCUUAGAGUUCUUAUCUGGUAUAGUAACGCCUCAUUGGCAAUAACCCAAAUCACUAAACCCUAAAUCACUAAUAAAAAUUACAAAUUUACACCGAAUUUGAACAAAUUUCUACCAGCCGAUGUCACUAAACUCAAAUUACUCCUAAAAAUCUCAAUAUAAACCCAUUAACUACUAGACCAACAACUCAUUGGCUAGAAUCCACGUUGCUUUUCCACAACAAUCAUCAGCUUCUUCAAUUAGGAUGCUACAAGCCCUUGUCUAUAUACUAGCUUAAAUUGCAACAACCUUUGAUUCCGAGAGAAGUUUGGCCUGAUCCAACGGUAGUCAAUGCGUGCUCAAUCUGUACUAGCUUUCUGGUAGGACUGAAAGUAGUGAGAGAAAAGGAGUACUGGCUAUCACCCAUGGUUUAUUGCUUGAAGACGCAGAGAGGAAAAACUGCGAAUGCGAGCGUGUGGGAGAGAAAGGCAAGGAUAUUUACUUGGGGUUUGAACUUUGCUUUUCUUGUUGGAGAAGGAGGAGUUUUCUUACGAGGGCUUUUACAAUGGAGUAUUUUGGGCUUUUAUGACGGCAGGUUGGUUCUCUUUACAUUGAGCUCAAUGAAGGCUUUAAUUUUUUAAACUUAACUUUAUCCGGGUCAGUUCACGGGAGAAGUUUAAUUUUUUUUUUUUUAAGAAAAUAAAAUAACAUUAUUUUUAGUACUUUUUUAAAAUGAUAUUUUACCUGAGUCCACAGGCGAUGUAUAAAGUUUUUUUUAUUUAAAAUAAUAUUUUUUUUUUAUUUUAAUAUUUACUUACUAUUUGUAUACUAAAACAGUAAAACAUGUGAGAUUUUCACUUUAUAUUUGUUACUGUGCAAAAUUUUAUUUUUUAGUUUAGUCCUCAAACUUUAUUUUUGAACUAUCAAGUCCUAUUUAAAAAACAAUUGAUUUUAAAUUCUGAUAAAAAAUUUGGAUUGGAAGAGAGGAACUGAAAUGAAAAACACGAUAGAUAUGGGUAACGCACCUUAAAUUUUUAAAACAUUCUCUUUGGUCUUCCAACUUAAACAAUCACACAAAUUAUAUAAUUUUGGUACCUCAAAAUUGUUCCAAUUCCAUUUUGGUGCGAAGAUUUAUUUUUGUUAUUUUCUAGUUCCUAAUUAAGAGAGGAGAGAAAGAAAGGGGUCACUAGAUUCCAAUAAUAAAAAGAGAAACUUGUCGUUGACACCAACUUAAACCACUAAAAUAAGGGAUCUUUAUGUCAAAUUAUUAGGGGAGUUCCUAUUAGAUGUUUUUGUAACUUAAAAGUUCAUGAAAAAAAGGAUCUAAACUCGGGUUAAUUUUUUUUAUUUUAGACUGUGUUUGGUUUUUUAGGCAGUUUUUUGGAUCUAGUAUGGUUUCCCGAUCCAAGUACCUAGGGUCUGGCAUAGUUGCUAUAAAAAUAUAACUUUAAAGAAUAUAAUUAAAAACAAAUAAAGUGACGUGAUUAGUUAAAAACUAAAAAUAAUAAUAAAAAAAAAGACUUAACCUCAUUUUUUUGUUGUUCAGAAGGCUUCUUUUAAAUAAUAUUAAUUUUUUUUAUGAGUUUAAUUUUCAGAGAGGUUUUCUAGUGUAUUUAUGGUUUUGUUUGUCUUUUAUAUAAAUAAAUUAUAUUUUGAAAAUAACAAAAUAUUUAUUUUCAGAUAAUAUUUUUAAUAUGUAGUCUUCGUAGUGAUUGAUGAUGCCAAUUGUAAAUGAAUGGAGGAGGAAGCAUCAAGAUCGUUAGCUUGUUUGAAGGCAGAUAGACCUUUGAUCAUUAGAUGAUGCCUCUAAACGAGGCUCCAUAUUAUAAAGGCAUAACAAAGAGAGGAUGAGAGAAAUAAUUAUAGACCAGUUAGGUGGUUUGUGCUACAUCGCGGGCUCACCUUUAAUUUCUAAAAUAAAACUGGGUGAGUACCCAAGUCUAUUUAGGUCCUUUUCAAAUAGGAGCCAAGCAUAUUUGGGUUCUAUCGCGGCCAAGCCAGGUAGGACCUAAGGUUAUUUGGGUCAUGUACCUGGCAGGACCCAAGGUUAUUUUUGAGUCCUACAACUAAUAAUUUGUAUUUAAUUUUUAAAUAAAACUAAAUGUAAAAUUAAGUAUAAUUUGAUAAAAUUAUUAUUACAAUACAUUUGGUAAAAUUAAUAAAUGAUAUAACAUUUUCUUUCAAAUUCAUAAAUUAUUUUAUUAAUAAUAUUAAUUACAAUAAAAUAUACUCUUAUAAAUUUUAAUAAAAAUAAUAAUAUUUAUAAUACAACUGAUAAAAUUUUUAGUAUUAAUAUUAUUAAUUAAUAUAAACAUAAUAUUAUUUAUAACACCAAAAAUAAUAAUAUUUUUGAGAUUAAUACUAUAAAUUAGACUAAAAAAUAAUAGUAAUAAAACAAAUAAUAAUAUUUUUAAUACUAAUACUCUUAAUAUUAAUUAUACUAAAAAAAACUAUUAAUAAAAAAAAUAAUAUUUCUAAUACUAAUAUUUGGAAUUAUACUAAAAGUAUGUACGGGCAGCCCAAGCGUUAAGUGGCGCUUGAACUGCACUCAAGAAAAAGCAUAUUAUUUUAAAAUAUUAUUUGUCCACUAAUUGCUAAUAUAAAUACACUUUUAAAACUAAUAUAAAGUCACCCAGAGUCAAUUUGAUAGCUGCUUGCAUAAAAUCUCAUUGAAUGUGGCCAAUGUUUUUUAGAAUAAAGUGAAAUAAAAAGUUAUUUCAAAACAUAACCACAGUAGUUUUUAAUUAUUGGUCUAGAAACUUUAGUAUAUCUCAUAAAAUCCAUGAGUUUUGGAUGAAAUAAAAUCAAUUCUAAAAUCAAACUCCGAUUGAAGCUUCAACUGCAUUUGUGAGCUAGAAAAUUUAACUUAUUAAGUUAGGUUUGUUUUUGCAUUUUAAAAGCGUUUUUAAAAAUUUUAAAUUUAUUUUAUUUUUUUCUUUGCUUUAAAUUAUUUUUUUUUUGUGUUUUUAGAUCAUUUUGAUGCGCGAAUAUCAAAAAUAAUUUUUAAAAAAUAAAAAAAAUAUUAUUUUGAUAUAUUUCUAAGUAAAAAUCAUUUUAAAAAGUAAUCACAACAAUAUUUUCACACAAUCUCUUCAAAACUUGUGCUUUUUAAAACAUGCAUUCAAACGCAAAGAAAGCAUAUAAAACACAUCAAAGUUGCAAAAGUAUGUAGUUUUAAUUAUUAGCAAAAGGGUUUAAAUACCCUAAAUAUCCGUAAAUAACUAGAAAACAAUUAAUAAAAAAAUAAUAAAACUAAAAUCCAAAAUUUUCAAGGAGAAAAUCUAAAAUAUGGUCUGAAAUUUCAAAGGCAGCUUUUUUAGAGUGGCAUUUGGAGAAUUUAAGUGAGGAAUAAGCUUCACGUGAGCGAGAUAAUAUCAUCUUAGAUUAAUUUUUUUAACAUGUAAAAUUUAAGUCUAAUUCAAUAAUUAAAUAAAAAAAAUUACCUCUUCCUGCCUGUCUUAACUAUUCUUUACAUAUGAACAUAUGAAUUACAUAUUAUUUUAUGUUGAGAGAGAGAAAGAGAGAGAGAGAGAGAGAGAGAGAGGAUGUGAGAGAGAGAGAGGGGUGUAUAUAUAUAUCACAGCUGCAUUUGAUAGAAUAAAUGGUAAGCAGGAAAUACAAUCCAAAGUCAACAUUAUACAGAUAUUUGACUCACAAUAAAUCAUCCAUACUCUUAUAAAAAAUAAAGAUGGGUAAACUCUUAAUUAGGCCUUGCUGCUGAAUUUUGUUGUUGAUUUGUAAUUUAAUUAUUGUUGAAGAUUUUUUGUGUUGGCAACCCAAACUAUCAUUGUGUUGGGUUUGGAUAACUUUAUUUGGAUUUAAUCUCCAAAAUCGAUGGGUAUCAUCACUUAUAGAUGAAUGGUUUAGCUUCUCUCAUUUUUUUGGAUUUAAUCCACUGAAACUGAGGUUUAAGAAUUUCUUGGAUUUAAUCCACUGAAACAGUUGCUUGAUCAAGAUCAUUGGCUUGUUUGAAGGCAGAUAAAGGCUUAAAAAAGAAGAAGCAAAUAUCAUCUUAGUUGAAAUUUCAAAGGCAAUUUUUUAGAGUAAAGAGGAAAUAAUUAAUACACUCAAAGCAGGUUCUAAAGAGUUCUGUCUUUCUCACCAAACAUGCAAAUAAAUCUUUGGGAUGUGAGAAAUCUUUUGCCAAUCUUCACCCAUCUCCUCCUUCCUACAGCUGUAACGUUUCCUUAGAAUGGGGCAACCCCUUAUCCCCAAUGCCUGCAGAGGCGCUGCCAAAACAUAGUCUGGUAGUGCUCUCAACAAUUGGCAAUAUUCAAUUCCCAAGUACUGAAGUUGUGGCAUAAUGGAUAUUAUUGAAGUUGUGUUGGCAUCUUCUUCUCCCACUCUCCUUUCCUUCCCACUCUUCUACUUCUCCGAGACCGUCCAUCCAAAGUUUUUUUAAUUUGGGGAAAGCAGUGACCCUUGCAAUUUCUCCUUCAUUAAUACUGGCCUUCUCAUCUUUUUCUAUACCUAAAAAUCCAGCAUCCAACCUUCUCACCUUCAUUGAGCUCAAUACCAGGCUUUCAAGGUUGGGCAAUCUUCCCAACGGAGGCAAGACCUCCACGUUUUCACAAUCACGGAGUGUAAGCUUCUGUAAUCUGGUUAAUGUCAUCAUCCAAUUUGGCAAAUCCAACCCUCCGUAGCUAUACAUGGUUAGAUUUUCCAAGUCUGACGGAGGCUGUAAAACUUCAAGUAAAAUGUCGUUCUCCCGGUUGAAGUCAAAAUCCAAUUGCAAACAAAGCAGGCGCUUCUUAUUCUUGAGUUGUGCUUCUGCAGCGUCACUCGCAUCUUCUUUACCUCCUCCUAGAUUCCGUAUACGAAGACUCCCUCCAAUGUGAUUUAAGUCUUUUAAUUCUCUUAGAUUAGCUGCUUUACUUUCAUUCUCACCACCACCACACACAGUAACACAUCUAAUGUUUGAAGACAUGUUAUCCUCUCUACUCCCUUUGGUAUGAAGGCCACACCUGAAAGAACAACCCGGAGAUGCCUCAAUUUGAUAAGUUUUCCAAUCGCAUUAGGCAAUUCCUUGAGAGAAGCACACAGAGUAACGUCUAGGGAUUGCAGAUUGCAUAAAUCACACAUGGUUUCUGGCAGGGACUCCAACUGAUAACAAGAUGCCACAUUGAGGUGUCUCAAAUGUAUCAAAUUCCCUACCUCGUUUGGUAUUUCUUUGAUUGAAGACCUUGUCAAAUUCAAUGACCUGAUGCAUGUCAACUGCUUGAACAAAUCAGGCAGUGCAACUCCAAGCGAAGGGUCUCUAGUGUCCAUCAAGAGGCUGCGAAGACCUUUUGCUUUGUGAAUGGACUUGGGAAACGAGCUCUCCUCUGACAGCAUCAUGCUUAAAUGACGAACCCUUUCAAUUGAAGUCUCCACUGUUGCUUUUCCAAGUUUACUGGCAUCCACUGUUAGACAUUCAUUUUUUGUCAUAUAUUGGGAAAAAUCAUGCACUAUAUCAUGCAUCUUGAAUUUCAUUCCUUCACACCAAUCCAUCUCAAAAUCUUGGAAGAAAGAACGCGCUGCUAAGACUUGAAAGUACUGCUCUCCUACACCCGAAGUCUCCUUGAGGUAACCUUGAGCUAUCCACAUCUUCACCAAUUCAUAUUUUCCCAUCUUGUAGUCUUUUGGAAACAUGGCACAAUACAAGAAACAUCGUCUUACCACAGAAGGUAAAUCGUAGUAACUCAAAAGCAAAG
Molecule: long non-coding RNA, 47393 nt
Filed under: Populus tremula
Lineage: Eukaryota; Viridiplantae; Streptophyta; Magnoliopsida; Malpighiales; Salicaceae
Description: long non-coding RNA (PTRE_LNC003209)
Source: RNAcentral